UGUUUUUUUUCCAUGUUCUUUACGAGACUUUAGUCAUAGAGUUCUCUUUCUCUCUUCAUUUUUAACACAAUUCAUCUUCUUCAGAUUCACCAUGUCAUUUUCUUUUUCUAUUUCUCUCUUCCUCUCCUAAAAUAAUCUUCACCACCUUUCAUAAAAUAUAUCAUCAUAUCUUUUUAUUUUGUUCACCCACAUGUUCUCUCUUUCUUUUUCCAUAGAAAUCUCUCUAUCUCUCAUUCUUUAUUUUAUUUUUUACCUGAAUUCUCCGUCAAUGUCGUUGUGAUAUAAGAGAUUAGAUUUGAUUUUAAAACAAAUGUCUGAUUUUAAAAUGCAUGUAUUUUAAGAACAAAACAUGUUAUUAACACUGAUAUAUUAAUAUUUGUCAUGCUAUCCCACAAAAACUCAUGAAAUAAAUAAAUAUUUGUCAUGUUAUCCAAUAAAAACCCAUGUAAUAUUGUAACAAUUCUAUAUGUUUUUUUAAACUUCGCGAUCGAUAAGAGAAUUGUAUGCUUUUUAUAAAUAUUUUGUGCUAUUUCAGAAAAACACAUUAUUUCAGAGAAACAUAUAUAUCGUUUUGUAUGUAUUUUAAAGAAUUGCAUGCUUUUUUGUAAAUAUAUCAUGUUAUUUUAGACAAAUAUAUAAAAACUUUAUAACUACAACCACCGAUAUUUUUGUAAAAACAAGAAAAUCUAAAGAUAUUUUAGUAUUUUAUCCACCAUAGAAAAUGUUAUUUACCUAAGUUUCCUGACACAAGGCUAUUGUCUCAAUUCUUUUCAAUUCCAUGGUUACUCUCUAAUAUUACCUUUAGAAUGGUUUUCCCUACCCUUAACCUUAAAACCUUUCUUUCAAGCCUAUGUACUAUUUGUGAGUGAGGCCUCUUGUAUGAAAAUGCUAUAGAUUUUGAAAUCUUCAAAGUAUUGAGAACGACAAGGUUUUAGCUCUUGUUUUUAGCUAGCUUUUGGAACAUCUUUGGACUAGCUACUAGGUUGGGAAUGAAAGAUUUAAGUGGUUAGAUUGAAUACUUGGGAUUGGGUUUGAAAAAAAAAAAAAAAAAAAAAAAAAAAACCUCUUUUUCUCUUAGUUUUUGUUGCUUUGCAUUCAUAUUUUGGCAUAUAGUAUUGCAUUUGCAUUUGCAUUUGUUUUUUUUAGGUACAUGAGUGGAGUUUAAAGUUUUGGAAGUAAAAUGGAGCAAAUGGAGCAAACAAAGGAGCUAAAAGAUUGCAAAGUGGCCAAAGAAGAGAAGCUAGUAGGAAUCUACCAAACUGGUCGAUUGCGUGGUCGAUUGGUCAGGACCAGAGCUACGGAGGAAUAUGAAUCUACCAAAGUGGUCGAUUUCGUGGUCUACUGGUCAAGGAUUAAUGUUGCGGACGAUAUUGAAUCUACCAAGUGAUCUAUUGCUUGGUCGAUUUCCUUCCUUAACCGGAUCAAAACCCGGUUUGUUCCGGGUUAAUCCGGUUUAUUUUCUCGUUACUAUAAAUACUCUUAACCUAGUUUUAGAGAGAGGGAGCUUUUGUUUAGGGAUAAAAACUUCUCUUGAAGGUUCUUUAUCUAAGGUUUUUGUAUGAAUGUUGAGUUCUUAAGUUUCUAUAUCAAGUAUUUCUUUUAAAUUUCUCAUCUAUUCUCUAAUGAUUAUGGCUUUACAAAGAUCAAACCAAUUCCUUUGUAUGAUCAUGAUCAUGAGUGAGUAGUCUCCUAGAGUUCUUUGGUUAGGGUAGAUUAGGAUGGUUUAGAUGUUGGGUUAUGGAGUUUAGGGCUAGAUUACUUAAGAUUCUUACUUAUUGGUUGCUUUUAAGGCUAGAUCAACCUUGAUCAUGAUGAUUUAGACAUUAGGAAUUUCAUGCCCGGAAGGUGUUCGAUGAAAUUCCCAAACCAAAAUCUUUAAGUGCUUUUCAUACCUUACCUUUGGAAAUUGUUGAUUAGGGUGAUUAGUGGCUAGAUAGACUUGUUAUUUAUGCUUAUUGAUCAUUUGAUUGCCUUUGGAAAUUGUUGAUGAUUGAUUGAUUAGUAAAGGGAUUAAUAUCAUGGAAAUGUAUUAGUCUUGUUUAGUGUUCUAUGGCCUAAGGAUCAUUGCUUGUUAGAAGUUGUUUGUUGCUCCAUAAUCCAUCUCUUUAUCAUUUCUAAUCGAUUACCUUAACCCGAGAAUUCGUCUUUAGUUUUCGCUUAGUAAUUUGUUAAUUUCCCGCUUUGUUUACUUUCGAAACUUGUUGGUCUUUUGUUUCUUGCUUUCUCUUAUCUUGUUUUGCAUUGUUUGUUUAAUAAUGCAUUGUUACUAAGAUUUAGAAUACUCAAAAUCAUCUUGUUAGCUUAGAUUAAGCAAGUGUGUGUAUUCUUGGUGAGUUGAUUAAAUUGCAAAUUGUGGUUCGAUAAUUAAUUGAAAGAAAUGCUACAUCAAUUUGGCGCCGUUGCCGGUUUGCAAUAGUUAUUAGCCAUUAGGAUUUCAUAUUUGUUUGAGACUAAGCCUUUUACUUUAGUUACUAAUCCUUUAUACUUGAUCUUUGCUCUUGUUUUAAAGGUGUAUGAACCUACGAAGUCACGGUCGAGCAAACUUAGUAGAAGAGAUUAGUGACAUCCGCCGGUUUGAAAGAGAAAACGCUAGAGCAAGAAGAGAACGAGAACGACUUGAACACCUUGCUCGGUUAGGCGUCAUGAAUGAACCCGGAAUUGAGGGCCAUAAUGGAAAUGGCCAAGCUAAUGGGGAUGGUCAUAUGCCACAACAUCAACCAAGAGCUCAUCAACCAAUUGGAGCCUUUGAUGAGCCAAACAUCCGUGGAAAUAGAAACGGUAUUCAAGCUCCUCCGGUUGAGAACAACAACUUUGAGAUUAAAUCAAGCCUCAUCAACAUGGUUCAAAGCUCUAAGUUUCAUGGUUUAUCAAUGGAGGACCCUUUGGAUCAUCUAGACCAAUUUGAUAUGUUGUGUAGCACGGUGAAAAUCAAUGGGAUCUCGGAAGAUGCAUUCAAACUUAGACUCUUCCCGUUUUCUCUUGGAGAUCGAGCUCGUAUUUGGGAGAAGAAUCUACCUCAAGGCUCCAUCACCUCUUGGGACCAAUGCAAAAGAGCCUUCCUCUCAAAGUUCUUCUCCACAACAAGAACGGCAAGGUUGAGAAAUGAGAUAUCUAGCUUCACUCAAAGGAGUAAUGAAAGUUUUUGUGAAGCUUGGGAAAGGUUCAAGGGAUACAAAAUGCAAUGCCCUCAUCAUGGUUUCUCUAAAGAAUCUAUACUAAGUACCUUGUAUAAAGGAGUUCUCCCUAAAUUUCGCAUGUUGUUGGACACGGCAAGCAAUGGAAACUUCUUGGGCUAAGAUAUUGAUGAUGAUUUGUCUUUGGUAGAGAAUCUAGCUCAAAGUGAUGGUAACUAUGGUGAAGAUUAUGACCGCACUCCAAGAGAAAGUAAUGAGAUGAGCGAUCUACACCGCAAAGAGAUCAAAGCAUUGAAUGAAAAGAUGGAUAAGAUGAUUCUUGCUAAUCAAAAACCGAUCCAUUUUGUAUCCGAGAGUGAUGUCUACCAAGGUUAUCAAGAGAAUAUGGAAGGUUGUGUAGAGGGACAAGAAGAGGUCAACUAUGUUAGUGGACAAGGCUACAACAAAUUCAACCCUAACUAUAGGAAUCACCCCAACCUUUCAUAUAGGAGCAAUAAUGUGGAGAACCCACAAGAUCAAAGCUACCCACCUUUAAAGCCUCCCGGUUUCACACAACAACCUAACUAUCAACCUAAACCCCAAGGGAACUUCCAACCAAAGCCUCAAGCCUACCACCACAACCAACACCAAGGGAGUUCAUCAAAUCCUCCACCUCAAGCGAAUGAUACAAACGCUCUUCUUAAACAAAUUUUAGAAGGGCAAGGAAGAGGAGCAAUCGAUCUCGCCACACAAAUGAAAGGAAUGCACACCAAAGUCGAUGACCUUUAUGGUGAGCUCAAUGCCAAAAUAGAGCGUUUGAAUGCCCAUGUUUAUAGCCAAUCCUCAUCCACUUCCAAGCGGCCAAUGGGAACUUUACCGGGUAAACCGGAACCAAAUCCGAAAGAGUAUAUAAAUGCUAUAACCCUUAGAAGUGGUAAAGAGUUGCCGAGUGGAGAGCUCAAUAGAGACAUUGAGCCUAAACAAAAGGAGGGUGUGAUUGAGAUUGAUGAAGAGGAGGUAUUGAAUGAGAAAGUUUGUCAAGAUGAGAUUGAUGUUGAAAAAUGUAUUGUUGACAAAGGGAAGGGUAAAAUAGUUGAAGAGUCUAAAGAAGACAAAACCCAAGAAGAAAUCUCCAAGAAGGAUAAAAGUUUUGCUAAGAAAGAGACUCUAUUUGUACCUCCACCUUAUGAACCAAAGUUACCAUUCCCGGGUCGUUUCAAGAAGCAACAACUAGAGAAGUAUAGAGCAAUGUUUGAUGAGCAAAUGAAAGAAGUUACUAUCACCAUGCCUAUCAUAGAUGCGUUCUUGUUAAACCCGACUUACAACAAGUUUCUUAAAGAUGCGGUUGUAGAAAAGAAGAAAACAUUACAAGGUAUGGUCCUUUUGACUCAUGAAUGUAGCGCUAUCUUCCAAAACAAGAUUGUAGCAAAGAAGCUUGAUGAUCCGGGUAGCUUUACACUUCCAUGUGCUCUUGGUCCUUUAUCCUUUGACCAUUGCUUGUGUGAUCUUGGUGCUAGUGUUAGCUUGAUGCCUCUUUCGGUUGCCAAACGCUUAGGUUUCACAAGAUUUAAGGAUUGUAGAAUUUCACUUGUCCUUGCGGACCGUUCUAUUAGAACCCCGGUUGGUUUGCUUGAGGAUCUUCCGGUCAUGAUUGGUCAUUUUGAGAUACCAACGGACUUUGUGGUCCUUGAGAUGGAUGAGGAACCGAAAGACCCACUUAUCUUAGGACGCCCAUUUUUGAGAACCGCGGGAGCAAUGAUUGAUGUGCGAAGAGGAAUGAUUAAAUUGAACUUGGGUAAGGAGGUAUUAACCUUUGAUAUAAAAAAAACGAUGAAGAAACCUACCAUUGAAAACCAAGAAUUUUAUAUCGAAGAGAUAGAAGCUUUAGCGGAUGAGCUUUUGGAAGAGCUAGCAAUGGAGGAUCCACUUCAUAGUACUUUGACUAUAAAACAAGGAGAGUUUGGAUUACUUGAAAGUGAUAGUGAGGGGUAUGAGAAGAUACUUGAUUCUCACAAGCCUUCUAAUGAAGAUGGAACCUUCCUUGAGUUGAAAGAAGUUAGUCAUGAGGUUAAUGUUGUUGAGAUUGAAGAGGUGACAAACAAGGAGGGAGCUAGCAAUGGUAAGUCUAGCAUAGAUGGAGAUUGGAGUGAACUCAAGGCUCCAAAGGUGGAACUAAAACCUCUUCCCAAGGGGCUAAGGUACGCAUUUCUUGGAACAAACUCUACUUAUCCGGUUAUAAUUAAUGACGAACUUAGUGAUUUAGAGGUCUCCACCCUAAUAGAGGAAUUGAAAAAGUAUAGAAAAGCUAUUGGUUAUUCUCUUAGUGAUAUUAAAGGAAUUUCGGAAACUCUUUGUGUGCAUAGGAUUCAUCUUGAGAAUGAGUCAAUGACUUCCGUCGAACAUCAAAGGCGGUUAAAUCCUAACCUUAGAAAUGUAGUACGGGAAGAGAUCCUCAAACUCUUGGAUGCGGGAAUAAUUUACCCGAUCUCGGAUAGCACAUGGGUUUCUCCGGUUCAUGUGGUCCCAAAGAAGGGUGGAGUCACGGUUGUAAAGAAUGAUAAUGAUGAGUUGAUCCCAACUAGAACAAUAACGGGGCAUAGGAUGUGUAUAGAUUAUCGAAAAUUGAAUGCCGCUUCUAGGAAAGAUCAUUUUCCUUUACCGUUUAUUGAUCAAAUGCUAGAGAGGUUAGCCAAUCACACCCACUAUUGUUUUCUAGAUGGAUAUUCGGGAUUCUUUCAAAUUCCGAUUCAUCCAAAUGACCAAGAGAAAACAACUUUCACAUGCCCUUAUGGUACAUUUGCAUAUAGGAGAAUGCCAUUUGGUUUGUGUAAUGCUCCCGCUACAUUUCAAAGAUGCAUGAUGUCUAUAUUCUCGGAUCUAAUUGAAAAUGUGGUUGAAGUUUUUAUGGAUGACUUCUCCGUCUAUGGAGACUCUUUUGCCUCUUGUCUUUCUAAUUUGUGUAGGGUCUUGAAACGUUGUGAGGAGACUAACCUUGUGUUAAAUUGGGAGAAGUGCCACUGCAUGGUUAGAGAUGGGAUAGUAUUGGGUCACAAGAUCUCCGAGAAGGGUAUAGAGGUUGAUAGAGCUAAGAUUGAUGUGAUGACCAAUCUAGCACCGCCAAAUUCGGUUAAGGGAAUAAGAAGUUUUUUGGGCCAUGCCGGGUUUUAUCGAAGGUUCAUCAAGGACUUCUCCAAAAUAGCAAGACCACUUACAAGACUAUUGUGUAAAGAAGUUGCUUUUGUGUUUGAUGAGGAAUGUCUAGAUGCUUUCAAAAAGAUAAAGAAAGCUUUGGUUAGUGCCCCAAUAGUGCAAGCACCGGAUUGGAAUCUACCAUUUGAGAUCAUGUGCGAUGCUAGUGACUAUGCGGUUGGAGCGGUUCUUGGUCAAAGAAAAGAUAAGAAGCUUCAUGUCAUCUACUAUGCAAGUAGGACUCUUGAUGAUGCACAAGUUAAGUAUGCCACCACCGAAAAAGAGCUCCUUGCUAUAGUGUUUGCAUUUGAGAAGUUUCGAUCAUACUUGGUUGGUUCUAAGGUGAUAGUUCAUACGGAUCAUGCGGCAUUAAGACAUCUAUUAGCCAAGAAGGAUGCGAAACCAAGGCUUUUGAGAUGGGUUUUGCUUCUACAAGAAUUUGACUUGGAAAUUAAAGACAAGAAAGGGAUUGAGAAUGGUGUUGCGGAUCAUCUCUCUCGGUUGAGGAUUGAUAAUGAUAUACCAAUCGAUGACUCUCUUCCCGAGGAGCAACUAUUGGCAAUUAGGCUUUAGGAUGCAAGUCAUGAGACCUAUAAAAAACUUGAGGAGGUGAAGACAUUGAAUGAAAAUGGCCCAUGGUAUGCGGAUUAUGUUAACUAUUUGGCAUGUGGAAAAGAACCUCCAAAUUUGAGUAGCUAUGAAAAGAAGAAGUUCUUGAAAGAUAUAAACCACUUCUAUUGGGAUGAACCAUUUCUUUAUACUCUAUGUAAAGAUAAGAUCUAUAGAAGAUGUGUCUCGAAAGAAGAAGUAGAAGAAAUUUUGCUCCAUUGCCACGGUUCAAGCUAUGGAGGUCAUUUUGCAACUUUCAAGACGGUUACCAAGGUUCUACAAGCGGGUUUAUGGUGGCCAACGAUGUUUAAAGACGCACAAGAGUUCAUUUCGAAGUGCGAUUCAUGUCAAAGAAAAGGAAACAUUAGUAGACGAAAUGAGAUGCCCCAAAAUCCAAUUUUAGAGGUUGAGAUCUUUGAUGUAUGGGGAAUAGAUUUUAUGGGACCAUUUCCUUCUUCAUAUGGAAAUAGCUACAUACUUGUGGCGGUUGAUUAUGUGUCAAAAUGGGUUGAGGCGAUUGCUAGUCCAACUAACGAUGCAAAAGUUGUGUUGAAGCUAUUCAACACUAUAAUAUUUCCAAGAUUUGGUGUUCCUAGAGUGGUCAUAAGUGAUGGAGGGAAGCAUUUCAUCAACAAGGUCUUUGAGAGUCUACUCAAGAAGCACGGAGUGAAGCACAAGGUCGCCACGCCUUAUCAUCCGCAAACAAGUGGUCAAGUUGAGAUUUCUAACCGGGAAAUCAAAGCUAUUCUAGAGAAGACGGUUGGGACUACAAGAAAAGAUUGGUCGGUAAAACUUGAUGAUGCAUUGUGGGCAUAUAGAACCGCCUUUAAGACUCCGAUAGGUACUACUCCGUUCAAUCUUCUCUAUGGAAAAUCAUGCCAUUUGCCGGUUGAGCUCGAAUAUAAGGCUUUGUGGGCAGUAAAGCUUUUGAAUUUUGAUAUCAAAACCGCCGAGGAGAAGCGGUUGAUUCAAUUGAAUGACCUUGAUGAAAUCCGCCUUGAAGCUUAUGAGAACGCCAAAAUUUACAAAGAGAGGACUAAGGCAUUUCACGACAAGAAGAUCGUUCCAAGAGACUUUAAAGUAGGUGAUCAAGUGUUGUUGUUCAAUUCUCGUUUGAGAUUAUUUCCGGGAAAGCUCAAAUCUCGUUGGUCGGGUCCAUUCAAGAUCAAAGAAGUGAGACCCUAUGGAGCCUUGGUAUUGUGGAACAAAACGGGAGGAGAAUUUGUUGUGAAUGCUCAACGCUUGAAGCCUUACUUCGCGAAUCAACACAUUGGGGAGGGAACCAAAGUUUCUCUCUUGGAGCCUCAAUCCGCCUAAUUUGUGUGGAAACGUCAAGCUUAGUGACUUUAAACAAGCGCACUUGGGAGGCAAUCCCAUGGUAUCCUUGUACAUAUUUUGAUUCUAUUUAUGUGCUUUUGGUUUGAUUAAGUUUCAGGGAAGUAUUUGGAAAAUUUCAUAUCAAGACGGGCAAGCAAAACCAUUUCUGGGCAAGCGAAUCGACCGCAUGGUCGAUUGGACGGUCGACUCAUCCAUGUCCGCAAAUCCGUCAGAUUUCUAAUCGAGCACUCAAUAGAGCAGUCAAUAGACGAGUUGGUCGAUUGGACGGUCUACUGAUUCAUGUCCGCAAAUCCGUAAAUUUUCGAAUCGACCAAUCAAUUGAUCGAUUGGUUUUGAAAGCCCAGGUAAGUCAUCUCUUGACUUCGUCGGUUCACUAGAAAUUUUCCGGUUUAGUCCCUUAACCAACCAAAACCGAAAAAAAAAAUAAUAAUAAUAAUAAUAAUAAUUCCUUCUUUUUCCUUCUCUCACGACCUCUUCCUCUCACUUUUCUCUCUUUUUUCAAACUCACUCUCUCUUUUGUUUUCAAACACACUUGCUUGUUUUUAGUGAUUCAAAUCUCUUGUUCACUUUUUUUUCUCCAUAGAACCCGAAUUUAGCAUCUCCACUCUCAGAUUGACAAGGCACAAUGGUAGAAGGCACAAAGAGAACAAACCCCAAACGUUCUAAGACAAUGACCUCCACUGAACCGCAAAGUGAACCCGUUGCUCAUUGGACUAAGGAAGAUAAGAAAGCUCUCAAAGUCAUCUCUCCACUUCCUUCAUUUCCAACGCGUUUUGCAAAUCGCGAGAUCCUAGAGAAGAUGGGUUUGCUCGAGACUAUUGACGAGUUCUUCACAAAGAUGGGACUUGGCGCCUUCACCUCCAUGGAUCACCCUACAUUCAGUGAGCCUACAGUUGAUUUCUUUAGCACCAUGGAGUACACAUUUACGAACCCAAAGAUACCACUAGCUAAAGAAGGAAUCAUCAACUUCAAGGUCAAAACAAAGGCUUUCUCCAUAUCAAUUCCCGACCUUUGUGAAGCCUAUGGAUUUGAGAACAAAAGCGAGAUGAGCUUCCCGAAGUUUAAAGGAAUCCACUUCUUUUGGGGCGAGCUAGCAAGCGGGAAAUUCAGUUGUAACGCAAGUAUCAAGAGCGUCCGCCAUCCGGUAAUUCGUUACGCCUUGAAGCUUCUCGCGCAUGCUCUUUUUGGGAGAGGUGAAACGAGUUCUACUACGGUUUCCGAGAUGUGCUUUCUUUUUCAAGGAGUCAAAGAAUUGUUGGUAGAAGACGCGGACGAGAAUGGCGAUGGAAGGUUGGUACAUGAUGAUCUUGGAAAUGAUGUGAACUAUGGGUGCAUCUUUGCUUCUUAUCUAGAGGAUUAUAAGAACCGGCUAAUCAAGGGCAAGACGAAAUCCAUCUACAUUGGUGGUACUCUCACACCACUUUUUGUUAAAGCGGGAGUAGAUCUUUCUCCAUUCAAUGCUCUCCCAAAGCGUGAAUACAUUGACUAUGAGAACUUGGUGCGUUCUUGCUCUUUAAAACGUAGCGAUGAUGCUUUCAUCUACUUGUACACGGAUCGAGAGGAUAACAAGUUGGAAUGCAUACUACCCUCAAAGGAGAUCACAAAUGUAGAGAGUCAUGAAGACAUUAUGUUUUUGCCAAGUAAGGAAUAUCAAGUACCAAAUUUGGAGCAAUUUAUGGAGAUUGAAGAAGAAGACUUGCCACCAUCUCCACGAGAUGACCCUUACAACCUCAACAAGUGUGAUCUUCCCGAAUUCACAUUUGUGCCAAAGACCAAGAUGGAGAAGUUUCUUCAAUCCGUCAUCAAGUCUCAAAGGAAGAUAAACAAGUGGAAAUCUUAUGCAAUAGGAAAGCUACUUAAGAAGGUGAAGAAGCUCCAACCACCGGAUUAUGUCUCUUCCGAGGAUGAACUUGUUUUUCCUUCAAAUGAGGAGGAAGAUAGAGACAAUAUUUUGGAGAGUGAUGAGAAUAAUGAAACGCCCGCCACUUCAUCACACUCGUCUAGGAGGAAGAACGCCUCGAGAGACCACUCCUACAUGCCUUAGCCACUCCACGGUAUCACUUGUAUAUACGACUUUAUUUCUUUUAGUUCUAUUUAUUUAUUUUCGUUAGUCUUUUCCUCAUAUUUUUCUCUCACACCGAGACGGUGUGAAAUAAGUUUGGGGGAGAGACUAACCAUCUAACGUUGUGUUUUGUUUUGAUUUUAUUUCUUUGAGUCUUGCAUUGUCAAUAUCUAUGUUUUGAGAAAAAAUAAAAAAAAAAUCUGAAAAUUUUGAAAAAUCCAAAAAAAUCAUGUAGGUUUGCAUAUUAAUUUUCUCUUUUAGAAUUGAGUCUAGAAGCAUCUAGUGUGCAUUUGCAUUUGCAUAGGGGAUAAUGAUUUAAUUACCUUGUAGAAAUUCAAGCUUAGGAUUGAACUUAAAGCCCUUGAUCACAGUUAAUCGUUGCUUGAUCAUCUUGGAAAAAAUGGAAAAUCCAUGCUUAGACUUUUGCGUUUCUCGAAAGCAAUUUCUACUUGUGUGAAGCUUACAUGACUUUUGAAAUAUCUCUAUGAAUUUGGACUUAAUUUGAUAUUGAUUUCUCGCUUAUGGAUCCUAAAUGCAUUCUCAUGGUAGUCUAAAAGACUCAUUCGGGUUAUCUUAUUCGUUUUGCCAAUCUUUUGUUAACCCGAAUGGCCAUUCUCACCUUUAGAAUGGUUUUCCCUACCCUUAACCUUAAAACCUUUCUUUCAAGCCUAUGUACUAUUUGUGAGUGAGGCCUCUUGUAUGAAAAUGCUAUAGAUUUUGAAAUCUUCAAAGUAUUGAGAACGACAAGGUUUUAGCUCUUGUUUUUAGCUAGCUUUUGGAACAUCUUUGGACUAGCUACUAGGUUGGGAAUGAAAGAUUUAAGUGGUUAGAUUGAAUACUUGGGAUUGGGUUUGAAAAAAAAAAAAAAAAAAAAAAAAAAAAAACCUCUUUUUCUCUUAGUUUUUGUUGCUUUGCAUUCAUAUUUUGGCAUAUAGUAUUGCAUUUGCAUUUGCAUUUGUUUUUUUUAGGUACAUGAGUGGAGUUUAAAGUUUUGGAAGUAAAAUGGAGCAAAUGGAGCAAACAAAGGAGCUAAAAGAUUGCAAAGUGGCCAAAGAAGAGAAGCUAGUAGGAAUCUACCAAACUGGUCGAUUGCGUGGUCGAUUGGUCAGGACCAGAGCUACGGAGGAAUAUGAAUCUACCAAAGUGGUCGAUUUCGUGGUCUACUGGUCAAGGAUUAAUGUUGCGGACGAUAUUGAAUCUACCAAGUGAUCUAUUGCUUGGUCGAUUUCCUUCCUUAACCGGAUCAAAACCCGGUUUGUUCCGGGUUGAUCCGGUUUAUUUUCUCAUUACUAUAAAUACUCUUAACCUAGUUUUAGAGAGAGGGAGCUUUUGUUUAGGGAUAAAAACUUCUCUUGAAGGUUCUUUAUCUAAGGUUUUUGUAUGAAUGUUGAGUUCUUAAGUUUCUAUAUCAAGUAUUUCUUUUAAAUUUCUCAUCUAUUCUCUAAUGAUUAUGGCUUUACAAAGAUCAAACCAAUUCCUUUGUAUGAUCAUGAUCAUGAGUGAGUAGUCUCCUAGAGUUCUUUGGUUAGGGUAGAUUAGGAUGGUUUAGAUGUUGGGUUAUGGAGUUUAGGGCUAGAUUACUUAAGAUUCUUACUUAUUGGUUGCUUUUAAGGCUAGAUCAACCUUGAUCAUGAUGAUUUAGACAUUAGGAAUUUCAUGCCCGGAAGGUGUUCGAUGAAAUUCCCAAACCAAAAUCUUUAAGUGCUUUUCAUACCUUACCUUUGGAAAUUGUUGAUUAGGGUGAUUAGUGGCUAGAUAGACUUGUUAUUUAUGCUUAUUGAUCAUUUGAUUGCCUUUGGAAAUUGUUGAUGAUUGAUUGAUUAGUAAAGGGAUUAAUAUCAUGGAAAUGUAUUAGUCUUGUUUAGUGUUCUAUGGCCUAAGGAUCAUUGCUUGUUAGAAGUUGUUUGUUGCUCCAUAAUCCAUCUCUUUAUCAUUUCUAAUCGAUUACCUUAACCCGAGAAUUCGUCUUUAGUUUUCGCUUAGUAAUUUGUUAAUUUCCCGCUUUGUUUACUUUCGAAACUUGUUGGUCUUUUGUUUCUUGCUUUCUCUUAUCUUGUUUUGCAUUGUUUGUUUGAUAAUGCAUUGUUACUAAGAUUUAGAAUACUCAAAAUCAUCUUGUUAGCUUAGAUUAAGCAAGUGUGUGUAUUCUUGGUGAGUUGAUUAAAUUGCAAAUUGUGGUUCGAUAAUUAAUUGAAAGAAAUGCUACAUCAGUAGGUUUCGAAGUUAACUCAUCCUGUAUUUGGGGUUUCUUAGUUUACACGUUUCCUUUGGGGCAGAUCCCUAUUUGCUCUGGUUUAUCGAAAUUAAACCGGUGAUUUUUAAGAACUGGAUGAAAUAAAACAUGAAAACUUAAAAAUUGAAUUUUUCGAUUCCUUUGCAUGUCUUGUCGAAACCUGAAAGCUUGAGUAUUUUCUUUAUAUUUUUCGUUUGAGAGCCAAAAACACAAGCAAUUAAGCAAAUCCCAACUCUCUUUUUCAUUGAAAUCCCGAAACAAUUAGGUCGUGGAUUAAGCUUUUGUAACAAGGUAGGUUUGGAGGUUUACUCAUUAUAUUUUUUUAGGGUUCCAUAAGAUUCCUAUUUGCGUUGUGAGCUCUAAUUUUCCCUGUAUUGAAGUUAGAAGUUCCUGUUCUCAGUUUACCAGUUUAUACUCUCUUUGUUUCGUGCAGAGCAGAUGGAUCACUUAAGCAAUUUACCAGACGAGCUUCUUUGCCAUAUUAUGUCCUUCCUUACCACCAAGGAGGCUGCUUUGAUAUCGGUUCUCUCCAAAAGGUGGCGCAAUUUGAUUGCAUUUGUCCCUAAUCUUGAUAUUUUUGACUGUGAUAUUCUGCAUUGGGAGGUGCGUAAAGAGGAAAGGGACGAUAUUCGACAGCUCUUCAUGGAUUUUGUGGAUAGAGUUUUGGCAUUGCAAGGUAACUCUCCCUUAAAGAAAUUCUCCCUCUGUUGUGGCGGCGGUUCUUAUUCGGAUAGAGUGGAUUGUUGGAUACAGAAUGUGAUGGUGCGUGGUGUUUCGGAGCUUGAUCUAUCAAUGAUUUUUGAUACCUCUUAUCAUAUGUAUCCACAAGUUUUCGAGAACAAGAAACUAGUUAAGCUCCAUUAUCUGGAUUUGAUAUUCGUUGCUUGGAUGGGAGCAUUUUCUUACCAAUGCUUAAAACUCUCCUUCUUGAAUCAGUUUUGUUAUCUGUUGAGAAUUUUGAGAUUUUUCUUCGUGCUUUGCCUGCGCUUGAGGAAUUAGUCAUGAAUCAUAUAUACUGGAAAGAAUUGGAUGUGAAUGUGCAUGUAUCUGUAUCAAGUGCAAGCCUCAAGACCCUAACAAUAAAAUGCAUCGUUUGUUUACAUACUAAGUCAUUUGAUACACCUAGUCUUGCUUACUUAUCUUACUCUGAUUAUGCCAUGGGAGAUUAUCCCGUAGCUAAAAUGGAAAACUUGUUUGAGGCUCGAAUCAGCCUUUUUGUACCUGAAGACGAUAUCAGCCGAGUAAGAGCGCCAAACAAUGAUUUGUUAGAGGAUGAUGAGUACAAUCAUGCAUGUUCUCCGAUAUGAAAAUGUGGGGAAGCUUAUGAAUAGCAUUCGAAAUGUUCGGUAUCUCUAUUUCUCUCGUGAUACUCUUGAGGUUAGUGUUUUUGUUCUUUUCUCUAUUAGCUGGUCUUGGUAAAAUAAAUGAAAGAUAACCAGCACUUCGUCUCAAUUUAUGGAGCAUGGCAGUCAUGUUUGUUCAAGUCCUAUUUUUAACAAAUAAGCAAAAGUCUAAUUAUGGUUUGUCUUGUUAUCAGGUGCUUUCUCUAUGCUGUGAAUCGAUGCCAGUGUUCAAAAACCUCAAAUCUUUAUCUAUCAAGAGUGUUGAGAGUCGAGGAUGGCAAGCAAUGCCAGUUCUUCUAAGGAACUGUCCACAUUUAGAAACUCUAGUCCUUGAGGUAUAGAAAUAACUAAUUUACCAAACAUGUACAAAGAUAGAGUUCACACAUUGAAACCUUAAAUGUCUCCUUUAUGCCUUCAGGCUCUCUUGCACCAUGUAACUGAUAAAUGCGGGGAUGCUUGUGCCUGCGUCUCUCGGGAGGAGAAAGGUCGUUCGCUCAAAUCUUGUCCAGUAAAAGUGUUAGAGAUUAAAGAGUUUCAAGGAACAAUGAAAGAGAUGCACAUGAUAAAACAUUUCCUGGACUAUCUUCCGUGUUUGAAGGAGAUGAAAAUCUCCUAUAUGAAAAAGAAUGAUCAUACUACACAGUUCAGAGUCAUCCCUCAAGUUAUUGCAGAGAUGGUGGAACACUACAACAAGUUAUCUAAUUGCAAUGUCCAGCUUGUAGUGAGUGGUUAAUUUUAUAAAAAGUUGACAGCACAUUGAUUCAGCCAUUUAUGAUCUCGCUUGUGGUAUAAUCUUUCACUUCCCUAGCAUUUUGCUUUGAGUUCUCUUUACGUUUUAGAUUUUGUGGACGAAUCGUUAAGAGUGAAUUAUUUUAGAGCAGAACACCGAUGUUUAAUAUUUUUUUCCUUGGACAUAGUGCUCAAUUGUUUUGUUUUAUCGCAAAAUCACGGAUGCAAUACAUACAUGUUUGACACUAAGCGAUGUGAUAUACUUCUAAGAACUCAAAACUCAAGCAUUCCCGGUUUACCAAAAUUAAACCUGUAAAAGAACCGGAUAAAAUUGAACCAGACUCCAAUUUUGUUCAACUCUUAAAAUUGGAUGCCUUUUCGUUGUCGAACUCGAACCUGAAAGCUUGGGUCUCUCUUUUCACUGAAAUCCUAAUGAUCCUGCAAAGCUCAGUGUCACUGAUGUUUCUGAAGUUAUCACGGGGGUCGGGGGACAUGAUGGAACACUACGAAAAGUCAUCGACUUGCCAUGUCCAGCUCCUAGUGGAUGCUUACUUGUAUAAGAAGUGGACUGCACAAUGAAGUCUCUAAAGAGCAAAAGUCGCUCUCCUUGAAACUUGACUCAGUUUGGUUUUCUAGUGGUGAGUUUCAGAUGCUAUUUUUUGGUUUCCCUGCCCUUCCGGAAUUAGACAUAGCAGAGGUAUACUUCCGUCUAAAAUGAAGAAAGCAUUUCUCUGGACCUUUUCUUGUGUUUGUAGGAGAGCAGGGAUAUACAUAUAUAUACCAAAGAGAAUGAUUUUAUAGACUUCAAAGUCUCUGGAAUGUUUAAACUCGUCGCAACAAGUUUCAUAGUUUUGAUAUUUAAAAAGUGUAUGGAUUAGUGCACACUGAUGAGUCUCUCAUAGUCUAUUCUUUGGUUAACUUUGCUUUCGUUCUCUGAGUUUCUUUUUUACUUUAAGCAAUACUUCUACAUUUGGGCCUAAAUCUGUUUAAGCAAUGUAGCCCAAAGAUCAACCCGUUCCGGUUUAUCGAAACUACACCGGCGAUUUUAAAGAACAAAACCCUCAAUUUCCAUAUAUUUAUUUAAUUGGUUUUUACCUCUCUUUUUUGGCAAGUUUCUAUUACUUUUGGUAAUCAAAAUGUAAAUCCAAAACUAUCUUCAUUUAUAUAAUAGUAACAUUUUAUCAAAAAAAAAAAAAAAACUCACGUCUUCCUCUUAAAAAUUGGAUGCUUCUCUGAUGCCUUUGCAUGUCUAUGUCGAACCUGAAAGCUUGGGUAUUUGCUUCAUAUCUCCUCCUUUUUAAAGAACCGGAUGAAAUAAAACCCUAAAUUAAGAAAAUCCCAACUCUCUUUUUCACUAAAAUCCCUACAAAAUAGGUCUUGGAUAAAACUUUUGUAGCAAGGUAGGUUUCGAGGUUUACUCAUUAAUUAUGUUUUGGGGGUUCUUAGUCCAUAAGAUUUGUAUUUGUGUUGUUAGCUCUAACUUUCCCUCUAUGAAAGUUCAUGUUCGAAUCCAUAAGAUUCCUACUUUACCAGUUUAACGUGUUUCUUUGCACUUGCUUGGAUUUUACAUGAAUAACCUUUCUUGUUUGGUAAGAUUCCUCUUCGUUUCGUGCAGAGAAAAUGGAUCUAUUAAGCAAUCUACCAUACGAGCUUCUUUGCCAUAUAUUGUCCUUCCUUACAACAAAAGAGGCUGCUUUGACAUCGGUUCUGUCAAAGAGGUGGCGCAAUCUAAUUGCAUUUGUCCCUAAUGUUGAUAUUGUGGACCAUGAUAUUCGAGAGCUUUUCAUGGAUUUUGUUGAUAGAGUAUUGGCAUUGCAGGGUAACUCUCCCAUUAACAAAUUUUCCCUCGAUUGUUCCGGUGUUGAUUCGGAUAGAGUGGAUUGUUGGAUACAGAAUGUGAUGGUGCGUGGUGUUUCCGAGCUUAAUUUAUCAAUCUUUGUGGAUUCGGUUUUCGAAGAUGACUAUAAUCUCUUUCCAAAAGUGUUUGAGAACAAAAAACUAGUUAAGCUCGGAUUAAGUUAUAUUUCUUGGUUGGAUGGGAGCAUUUUCUUACCAAUGCUUAAAACACUCGUUCUUGAAUCAGUUUUGUUAUCUGUUGAGAAGUUUGAGAUUCUUCUUCAUGCUUUGCCUGCGCUUGAGGAAUUAGUCAUGAAUAAUAUAUACUGGAAAGAGCGGGAUGUUGUCGAUUUGAUUGUUUCAAGUGAAAGCCUCAAGACCCUAACAAUAAACUUCAUCGUUUGUACACAUACUUUGUCAUUUGAUACACCUAUUCUUGCUUACCUAUCUUACUCUGGUUAUGUCGUGGACGAUUAUGCCGAAGCUAAAAUGGAAAACUUGUUUGAGGCUCGAAUCAGCCUUCUUGUAGUUGAAGGCGAUAUCAGCCGAGUAAGAGCGCUAAUAAACAAUGAUUUGUUAGAGGAUGAUGAGUACGAUGUUCUCCAAUUUGAAAAUGUGUGGAAGCUAAUGAAUGGUAUUCGAAAUAUUCGGUGUCUCUAUUUGUCUCCUAAUACUCUUGAGGUUAGUUUUUUUUGUUCUUUUCUCUAUUUAGCUGGUCUUGGUAAAAUAAAUGAAAGAUAACCAGUACUUCGUCUCAAUUUACGGAGCAUGGCAGUCAUGUUUCUUCGGUCCCAUUUUUAACAAAUAUAAUAAGCAAAGGUCUAAUUAUGGUUUCUCUUGUUAUGAGGUGCUUUCUCUAUGCUGUGAAUCGAUGCCAGUGUUCAAAAACCUCAAAUCUUUGUCUAUCAAGAGUGCCGAGAAUCGAGGAUGGCAAGCAAUGCCAGUUCUUCUAAGGAACUGUCCGCAUUUAGAAACUCUAGUCCUUGAGGUACGUAUAACACAAUUCAUUAAUUUGCCAAACAUGUACAAAAUAUCAUACUUUGAAUUUCUCAUUGUCACUUUUAUGCUUUCAGGGUCUAUUGCACCAUGUAACAGAUAAAUGUGGGGAUGCUUGUGACUGUGUUUCCCGAGAAGACAAAGGUCGUUCACUCACAUCGUGUCCAGUAAAAGUGUUGGAGAUUAAAGGGUUCCAAGGAACAACCAAAGAGAUGAACAUGAUAAAACAUUUCUUGGAAUAUUUUCCGUGUUUGAAAGAGCUAAAAAUGUAUAUGGAAGAGAAUGAUCCUGCACAGCUCAGAGUCCCUGAAGUUAUCACGGGGGAGAUGAUGGAACGCUACAAAAAGUCAUCAAGUUGCAAUGUCCAGCUCCUAGUAGGUGGUAAGUUGUAUAAGAAGUGGACUCCAUGAUGAAGCCUCUAAAGAAGAAAAGUUUUGGAAUUUGAUUUUGGUUUAAAUUGGCUUGAAAAACUGUUUCAAACCAAGACAAUCGGAAAGCCGUGGGUAAAGGGGAUUCUCCCAUUAAGAAAUGGGUAAAGGGGAUAGGGAUAGGGAUUCUUGCUUUUGUCCCUAAUCUUGAUAUCGAUGACAAUACUUUUCUGCAUCCGGAAAUGGGUAAAGGGGAUAGGGAAGAUAUUCGAGAGCUCUUCAUGGAUUUUGUUGAUAGAGUAUUGGCAUUGCAGGGUGAUUCUCCCAUUAAGAAAGUCUCCAUCAACUGUGUCGGUGUUGAUUCAGUUAGAGUGGAUGCUUGGAUACGUAAUGUGAUGUUACGUGGUGUUUCAGAGCUUGUUCUUUUAAUCGUUUUGGAUGUCCAGUCGAUUGGUAAGAAGUUUUGGGUGCCUCCAAAAUGUUUCGAGAGCAAGAAACUAGUUAAGCUAGAGAUAGGUUAUGGAGUUGAUAUUGGUUGGUUAGAUGGAAGCUUUUUCUUACUGAUGCUUAAAACUCUUGUUCUUAGGUUAGUUCAGUUAUCUGCUGAUAAGUUUAAGAUUCUUCUUCAUGAUUUGCCUGCGCUUGAGGAAUUAGCCAUGGGUUAUGUAACCUGGAGUGAAGAUGAUGCUGUUGUGUCAGAUGCAAGUCUAAAAGAGACUAACAAUAACUUCCAACCAUUAUGUCUGCUAUUCUUAUUAUUAUUUAGACACUUUUUCGGUUGAUACGCCGAGUCUCACUUACUUCUCUUACUCUGACUUGUUGCUAAAGACUACCCUGUAAUUAAGAUGGAAAACUAAUACACUUCUCUUACUUCACUUACUUCGGAAUUUGAUUUUUGUGUAAUUGGUGUAUAUAUAUAUCUAUAAACCAAUAAACCCCUCCUAAAUAUUCUGAAAUUCUUAGUUAUAUUAAUCAAAAUAAUACCUUUUUUUGCAAAAUUUAACCAAUUUUUUAAGUUUUUUAUUUUAUUUUCCAAAACCGAUCCAAAUCCAACACUUAUCAAUAGUCUUAAAGCUGUCCCGGAUUAUACAUGUUUGACCUCGUCACGGGGCUAAUGUUGUGAUGUCCAAUUCAUGAUCUGCGAUUCUUUGCGCGAUCAAAUCUUUAACGUGAAAAAGCUUGCUCUAUGUUUUUACCAAAGUCCUGCCCUUCAACGUGAAAAAGUUUGCUUUCUUCUGCAGCCUAACUCAAGCUGUCCCGGUUUACCGAAAUUAAACCAGUGAUUUUUAAGAACCGGAUUAAAUAAAACCCUAAUUUUGUUUUCUUAAAAUUUGGAUGUUUCGGCUUCUCCGAUGCCUUUUUCUUCAUAAAAUCAAAGAAACCAGCGAUAAAGCAACUCCCAAAUCUCUCUUUUCUUGAAAUCUCCAAUAUUUGUUUCUUGGUAAGUAUCGAAGUUUACUCAAUUCGCUUUUUAAGGUUUCGUAGUUCACAAGCUUCCUUUCGGAUGUAUUCCUAGUUGCGUUGUUAACUUAGCGUUUCUCUCUUUUAGGGUUUACCAGUUAUAAUUAAUUGCUUCCUUCUACAUGCUCGAAUUUUUACAUGAAUCUAAAGACCAAACCUUUCUCUGUUUGUAGUUGAACUGUUUGGUAAUAUACGAAGCUUUUCUAGAGAAAAUGGAUCUCUUAAGCAAUCUACCAGACGAGCUUCUUUGUCAUAUAUUGUCCUUCUUUACCACAAAGGAGGCUGCUUUGACUUCUGUUCUCUCAAAGAGGUGGCGACAUCUGUUUGCACUUGUCCCUAAUCUUGACAUUGAUGACUCUAUGUUUCUAUACCCUGAAGAGGGUAAGCGUGAUAGGAACGAAAUUCAACAGAGCUUCGUUGAAUUUGUCGAUAGAUUAUUGUUAUUGCAGGGUAAAUCUCCCACUAGAAAAGUCUCCCUCAAGUGUAUAAGUAUGUCUGAUCCAGACCGCCUAGAUGAUUGGAUAAGUAAUGUGUUGGCUCGUGGUGUUUCCGAACUUGAUCUGUCAAUCGAUUUGUGUAUGGAUGAAUACAUUCUCUUGUCUUCAAAACGUUUCGAGAGCAAGAAUCUAGUUAGGUUGAAAUUACACCGUAUUUGUAUUGGCCAACCGGAAAACCCUAUUGGUUGGUUGGCUGGGGGAAUAUUAUUACCAAUGCUUAAAACUGUCCUACUUGAGUCAGUUGGGUUUUAUGUUGAUGAGGUUUUUCUUAGAGCUUUGCCUGUUCUUGAGGAAUUAGUCAUGGUUGAUGUAUUCUGUUCUGGAGCGUUAAGGAUGUCAUCGUGUCAAAUGCAAGCCUCAAGACCCUAACAAUGAGUUCCAACCAUUAUACGGGAACUAUGUCAUUCGAUACACCUAGUCUAGUUUACUUUUGUUACUCUGACUAUGUUGCUAAAGACUACCCCUUAGUUAACAUGGAAAACUUACUUGAGGCUAGAAUCAAACUUUUGUUAACUGACGAUCAAGUCGAAAGAGCAAGAGAGCCAAAUAACGAUGGCGUGGAGGCUGAUGAGGACGAUGUUGUUCUACAAUUUGCAAAUGUGGGGAAGCUCAUGAAUGGCAUACGAAAUGUUCAGUAUCUAGUGUUUUCUGCUAAUACUCUCGAGGUCAGUUUUCUCUUCUUCUUUUCUUGAAACAUCUAUGGCAAAAUGUCUAAUUGACGUGUGUCUUGUGUUCAGGUGCUUUCUCUAUGCUUUGAAUCAAUGCCAGUGUUCAACAACCUAAAAUCGUUAACUAUUGAGGGUAAAAAGAGGCGAGGAUGGCAAGCACUGCCAGUUCUUCUAAGCAACUGUCCAUAUUUAGAAACUCUAGUCCUUGAGGUAUAAAAAAAUAACUAAUUUGCCAAAACAUGAACCAAGAUAGCUUUCAUAUAUACUUUGAAUUGAAUCUCUUAUUGUGUCCUUUAUGGUAUCACUCUUUCAGGGUCUCUUGCACUAUGUCACAGAUAAAUGCGGGGAUGCUUGUGGCUGCAUUUCUCGAGAGGAUAAGGGUCGUUCACUCACAUCUUGCCCAGUAAAAGUUAUAGAGAUUAAAGGGUUUCAAGGAAAAAAGAAAGAGAUGCACAUGAUAAAGCAUUUCUUGGUUUAUUUUCCGUGUUUGAAAGAGAUAAAAAUCUAUAUUGAAGAGAAUGCACUUGAAGUGUCUAAAGUUAUCGCAAAGAGGAUAAAUCGCUACAACAAGGUAUCGAAUUGCAACGUGCAGCUCCUGGUAAGUGGUUGCUUGUAUAAGGAGUGGAGUGCACAAUGAAGUCUUGGAAGAACGAAAGUUGUUUUGGUUUGAUUUCAUUUAAUUGGCUUGAAAACAUUUUUUACCCUAAACCAAACCAAUCGCAAAACUGUUGUUCUUUCUUCUCUUGCAUUCUUGUUGAACUCAUACAAAGCACCAGUGCACCACUAUCACGCAAAGGUUAGCUCUCACAUCUCUCACUCUCAUAUGCUCUGUUUCUCUUUCUCUGUUUUAACAGAAGCAUAUAGUUACUCUCUCUAAUCUCUGCCUCUUUUGUCUAACAUUUUAACAAAUACAUAAACGUUUUCAAAGAGAAGAGAAACAUUGAAUGUCUACAUGUUGGUAAAACUUGGAUACACUCUUACAAGACACACUCACACAUACUUAUACUACUUGUACUUGGCACACUUACACAUACAAACAUGCCUUAAUCACAUAAUUAACUCUAGACUCUACUACCUUGAAACUCUAACCACAACACUUGCACACUGCUUUACUUUAAUUAAACUUCAACCUCAAGCUAACCCAAAAAACACACUUUACUCUUGUUUGGGCCUUAACGAAAGCUGCAGCCACACAAGCCCAACAUAUCUUUAUGUUGACUUAGCUUCUUCUCCUUUGGCUCGAUUUCGUCUUCUUUCUUCAUCGUCUUUCUCUUUUACAGGUUUAAUCAAAGGCUCAAAUCUUCUUUCGUGCAGAGAAGAUGGAUCAUGUUAGCAGUCUACCAGACGGUGUUCUUUGUCAUAUAUUGUCCUUCCUCACCACAAAGGAAGCUACGUUGACUUCCAUUCUCUCCAAGAGAUGGCGCAAUCUGUUUGCGUUUGUCCCUAAUCUCGAUAUUGAUGACUCUAUCUUUCUCCAUAAUGAAGAUUUUAAGGAGGAUAGGUACGACAUUUAUCACUUAUCAGAGCUUCAUCGAUUUUGUUGAUAGAGUAUUGGCAAUGCAGGGUGAUUCUCCCAUUAAGAAACUCUCCCUCAAGUUUAGAACUGGCUUUGACUCACACCGAGCAGAUGGUUGGAUAAGUAACACGUUGGUUCGUGGUGUUUCCGAACUUGAUGUGCUAAUCAGUUUGCAUGGAACAGAUUACCAUUUUCUGUCUCCAAAAUGUUUCAAGACCAAGAAUCUGGUUACUCUGAAAUUAAACAGUCUUGCUAUUGACUGGGACAUAUUCUUACCAAUGCUUAAAACUCUCCUUCUUCACUCUGUUACGUUAUGUGUUGAUAAGAUGUUUUCUUAGUGCUUUGCCUGCGCUUGAGGAAUUAGUCUUGUUUGUUGUGCCCUGGGGAGGUAAGUCUAACGAUUUCCUCUUAAAACAUUCGAUGUUUCAGCUUCUCCGAUGUCUUUGCCUGUCUUCUCCAACCUGAAACCUUUGUAUCCUUUCUUCGAAUCUUCGCUAGUAGCUCCCUAGGAACAAGGUAGGUGUCGAACUUUACUAAAUUCUCCUUUAUUUGAGAUUUCUUAGUUCAGAAGUUUCCUUUUGGCUAUUUACGUUGUUAACUAAUUAGGGUUUCUCUCUGUUUUACCAACUCAUCUUCGCGUCAAUUUAAUAAUCAAAACUUUCUCUAAAAGGAUUUCAGAGUCUAAAGAGAUUCGUGUUAUUCAUCACAAUGAGCAACAUACAACAUAUAUAGAGUAGAUGUACAACCGAAAGCGUAAAUCUAGGGAAAUCUAUCUAGUUCAGAAGAUCUAGUUACACAGAAUAUAUGAAUCUGUUAGAGUAUAUUCGUAGAUGAUUAUGCCAAGAAUAACUGAAGAUAACCGAGCCAAAACAAACCCCUAAUAUUCUCUGUUUGUAUCGCUGAUUUCUCACAAGAGCUUGUCUUCUUUCGUGUAGAGAAGAUGGAUCUCUUAAGAAAUAUACCAGACGAGCUUAUUUGCCAUAUAUUGUCCUUCCUUACAACAAAGGAGGCUGCUUUGACAUCGGUUCUCUCCAAGAGGUGGCGCAAUCUGCUUGCUUUUGUCUCUAAUCUUCACAUUGAUGACUCUAUCUUUCUGCAUCCCGAAGAGGGUAAGCGUGACAGGAACGAAAUUCGACAGAGCUUCCUAGAUUUUGUGGGUAGAAUAUUGGCAUUGCAAGGUAAUUGUCCGGUUAAGAAAGUCUCCAUCAAGUUUCUAUUUAAGCUUGAUUCAGACCGAGUUGAUGGUUGGAUAAGUAAUGUGUUGGCACGUGGUGUUUCCGAACUUGAUCUGUCAAUCGAUUUGUGUAUGGAUGAAUACUUUCUGUUGUCUUCAAAACGUUUCGAGAGCAAGAAUCUAGUUAGGUUGAAAUUACACAGACUUUGUAUUGGCCAACGGGAAAAAACUGUUGGUUGGUUGGCUGGGGAGAUUUUCUUACCAAUGCUUAAAACUCUCGAACUUGAUUAUGUUGGGUUUUAUGGUGAUUUGUUGUUUCUUAGAGCUUUACCUGCGCUAGAGGAAUUAGUCAUUGUUGAUGCAUUCUGGUUCACGACCUUUACGGAUGUCACCGUGUCAAAUCCAAGCCUCAAGACCCUAACAAUGAGUUCCAAUAUUUAUUCAGGCAGUAUUUCAUUUGAUACACCUAGUCUUGUUUACUUUAGUCACUUUAAGUAUGUUGCUAAAGACUACCCCUUAGUUAACAUGGAAAACUUACUUGAGGCUAGGAUCAACCUUGGGGUAACUGAGGGUCAAAUCAGACGAGCAAGAGAGCCAAAUAACAAUGACGAGGUUGUUCUCCGGUUUCCAAAUGUGGGGAAGCUCAUGAAUGGCAUACGAAAUGUUCAGUGUCUAGACUUGUCUGCCAAUACUCUUGAGGUCAGUUUUUCUUUUUUCUUUUCUCUCGAGGUGAUAAAAUAGAGAAAUCCACGACGGUUAUGUUUAUUUAGUCCCAUUUUAACGAACUAGCGAGAGUCUUGUUUAGAGACAUGUAAUGGCAAAAUAUCUAAUUGUGGGUUGUCUUAUUAUCAGAUGCUUUCUCUAAGCUGUGAAUCAAUGCCAGUGUUCAAAAACCUCAAAUCUUUAUCUAUCAAGAGUGCCGAGAAUCGAGGAUGGCAAGCAAUGCCAGUUCUUCUGAGGAACUGUCCACAUCUAGAAACUCUAGUCCUUGAGGUAUAGAAAUAACUCAUUUAUCAAACAUGUACAAAGAUAUAGUUCAUACUUUGAUUUGAAUCUCUUAUUCAUGUCUUCUUUAUGCUCUCAGGGUCUCUUGCACUUUGUCACAGAUAAAUGCGGGGAUGCUUGUGACUGCGUUUCUCGAGAGGAAAAAGGUCGUUCGCUCACAUCUUGUCCAGUAAAAACGUUAGAGAUUAAAGAGUUUCAUGGAACAAUGGAAGAGAUGUACAUGAUAACGCAUUUCUUGGACUAUUUUCCGUGUUUGAAGGAGCUAAAGAUCUAUAUUGAAGGGAAUGAUCAUGCACAGCGCGAAGUGUCUGAAGUUAUCGCGGAGAAGAUAAAACUCUACAACAAAUCAUCGAGUAGCAAUGUCCAGCUUAUGGUUAGUGGUUACCAUGAAUAAGAAUACGACUGCACUGCACAAUGAAGCCUCUGAAGAACAAAACUAAAGCAUAGGUUUUUACUACCAUGAGAAAUAAGCCUAUUAUUGGUCCCGUGAAAUCUAGCAGGUAGAACAGAAUAAUAGAAAACAACGCAAUCCCAAACAAUGCAUUCGAAAGCAGUCUGUUACCAUUUUUUCUCCUUCAACUCAAUUAUGUUUAUAAGCCAACAAGAUUUCACGCGUUAUUUAACUCAGGCCAUAAACUGAUGUUUAACAUUUGUAUGAAUGCUAUACAUCAUGAACAUCGAACAUAGAAGACUUUCCUUUGUUUCUAUAUUCAUAUAUAUAUAGACUGUAGUAAAUAUUUCCCAAGUAAAGCACGAGACAAUUUUAUUAAGAUAUAGUAAUUGAGUUUCACAAGUAAUUAGCUUAAGACCUUGAAUGUUUGUAAAUUUCUACAAUGGUUUUUUUUUUUUAUCAUUCAAGAUAAAGUAAUGGGAAUCUAGCUAGAUUUUUAAAGUUUCUACAAAUUAUCAAACAAAAGACCAGAAACCAAUUCUAUUAUUCAAAUUAGAUUCGUUUUUCGAGUUGAUAAAUUUAGGUUCGGUUCACACCUCAACAAGGAGCAAAUUUUGGCCUUUUCGGAACUUCCUAUGUAGUGUAAACCUUGAAGAAAAGUCAAUCAGAAGUUUUACGUAACGCAUGCAUAUAUGUCCUCGUACUCAAAAGAAAAGCAUACACAAGAUACAUUGCAUUUACACAAACGAAACGCUCGAGCACCAUUAAUUAAUGAUGGAUUUACACUCGACAACUUUCAUUAUAUAACCAAGACUUCACGUUAUAAUCCUCUUUUCAUCUAAAACUUUUUGUGUUAUUACGAAUCUUGUUCUUUUGAAUAUUGUGUUCGAUUCUUUCCUCAAAUUUAUUGUUUCCCCUUUUUUGUGUUCGAUUCGUUGCUCUUACCAUUAUAGUUUUUGGAGCUCUUUUGACUUAAAAAAGAAAGAAAGAGAGAAAGCAAUCAAAGCCGUUGGAGACUCAUACCUGUACCCAUAACAACAAUACACGUUUUAUAAAUGGGAGAUAUUAAGUCUGACCAUAUUAUUCCAAGUUAUAAAACAUGUUGAUGUAAAAAAUGUGUGAAUGCACGUGGAUUCUAUGAAGAGAGCUCGUGUAAGCGCGGUGUAUGAAGGUAAAGAGAGAAAUAGAUCAAGCAACGGAGAGGAAACUCGAAGGGAACAGUCUAAACACGCGAGAAUGACGGCAAAAGCUCGGAUGAACGUUUACAAAGAGAGCAUGAAACCUCUGCCGCCUAAACGUAAGAAAUCGUUGAUGAUCAUAAGUUUGAUGAGAAAGAAGGAAGAUACGCAAGAUGAUCAAAAUAAUGUUACUGUUGUCGAAAAGGAAAAGGAGGAGAAAGAGAAAGGCACGGUGCAGAACAUCAGGGAAAAUGCGGAAAUGCUCUCAUCAAAAUGUGUUGAGGAGUGGCCGCACAUGUUAACAUAUGAAGAGGAAUGGACGUGGUUUGCGUUUGCGUUUGGGUGGGGAUGGUGGCAGCGUUAUGACGCGGUGAUGAGCGGUAAGAGUUGGUUUAACUAAAUAUUAAAGAUUAAGGUGUUUGUUACAAAUCAUUUUGGGUUGGUGAAACUAUAUACAUAGAUGAUAGUUGAUACUUGAUAGGAUUUCUUAAGAUAAAAGAAGAUAUUGAGAAAUCAGUGUAUGUAUAUCGACCGAAACGAAAAUAUAUCUUUAAAGGGUUCACUUUCGUUUAUGUUUAUAUACAGAGAUUUCUCAUAAUAGAUUUUCAGUAUUUUUUUUUGUUUUAUUUGGUGUUUCAAUAUUUCGAACAAAAUCCAAAAGCGUAUAUACAGACUUAGACGCUGGUGAAACAUGCAUGACUUGCAUUAUUAGAGCAUCCACAACGGUGGGAUCCAAAAAUCAAGAUUAUAGUUUGUUUUUUUCUAUUCCGCAAGAUUCAAACUAAUUGGAUUUUCGGUAGAUCUACCAACACAUAAACUACCUAUAUUGGGUUAACCAUUUUAGAAUCAAUUUUAGGAGAUAAACCCUAAUUUAAAUACAUUUUAGUUAAUAUUAAAGUUUAAACUACACGCAUGUAAGUCUACACAAAUUAUAUAAAAAACACUUCAAAGAACUUUCCGUUCACACAUUUGAUGAUUUCUUGUAGUUUCAUUAAGUCAAUGAACACACAAGUUUCAAAUUGAUAUUUCAGGUCAUUAAGACAAUGUUGACACACAAGUUUCAGAUUGAUAUGUGAGAUCAUUAAGAAAAGGGUCUUAAUCAUAAAUUUAAAAGUGGACUCUUAUCCGCAAGCCUAUCUUAUGUAUAUGGCACUGGCACCGUCCACAAAUGUGUCUAUCAUCCUUUCAAGUGGACCAUCCUUUUCCUUUAAGGUAAUAACUCUGUGUGACUGAGAUCUACAAACACAUGUUACACACUUCACAGUCCUUAUAAAGUAAAUUUACUUAUUAUUAAGAAAAUAAGAUUUUGUAACUUUUUUCCUCUUAAAACAAUGGACAAAUAUGAAUACAAAUCCAUAUGUCACUAUUAUCUAUAUUUACACAAUUUAUUCGAUUUUUUGUAUGUUGUCUUAUCUCAUCGGAAAUUUUCAAACUAGUUAACCAUCGGAAAAAAUCAAGACGCACGGAUAUAUAAAUUACAUAUUCAUAAAUCAGACAUUUGACAAUCCGAUAGAAAUUGUCUCAUAAAGAGAAAAAGAACACAGACAAUAGGAAAUGAAAUGAGCAGAGAUAAUUCAUAAGAAUGUUUUAGAAAAGAAAUUAAGCUUCGGUGAAGCUUGGGGGCUUGUAGGCAAUGAAACUGAUGCAUUGGACUUGACGGGUGUUGUCGAAUCCGAUGAUCCUAAUGAAGGCGCCCGGGUACUCCUUCUUGCAUUCUUCAACUUCCUUCAACACUUGAGCGGAGUCGGUGCAUCCGAACAAUGGAAGCUUCCACAUUGUCCAGUACCGUCCAUCGUAGUAUCCGGGAGUGUUUCCGUGCUCACGGUACACAAAUCCGUGCUAUAAACACAUAAGAAAACCAUUCAAUACAAUUGAUAUUGGAGGAUAUGCACAAGGUGAUAUAGUCUAUUUCGGUUCUACAAAAUCCGGUUAUAGGCUAAUAUUUCUAGCAAUGAAAACGAAUAAAUAAUAAUGAUUAGUAGACAAAAGAAAACUUUUGUGUUUAUUACCUCUAACUCGAAUUCAACACAAGGAAUCCACUUGUUGCGGAGAAGGUAGUCAACUUCCUUAGCCAAUUCGACGUCACUAAGGUCAGGGAGGUAAGAUAGAGUCUCAAACUUCUUCUUUCCAAUUGGUGGCCACACCUAUAAUCCCCAAAUCCAAUUCCAAAUUAAUAUAUCCUAUGUUUUGUUUUAUUGCACAUGACAAAAGACAGUUUUUAUUGAUGAUAUUACCUUCAUGCAGCUAACUCUUCCCCCGUUGCUUGCGAUGGAAGUGAUGUCCUUGUUGGUCUUGCGGGUGACCGGGAAUGCAGCGGAUGACUUCAAGCCGGUGAAUGGAGCGACCAUGGUGGCCUGAGCCGGGGAUGUAACCACAGCGGCGGAGGAGAGCAUAGAGGAAGCCAUUACUACUUCUUGUUGUUUCUCUUCUUCUUUUGCUCGUUUACUUACUGACUUGUUUUCCUACUGGUGUUGUCAUCUUUAUAUAAUGAGAACCCCCUAAAGGCGAAAAGCCCUCAUGAUCAAAGGGUCCAUGAUUCAUGAUAACGUCGUUUACUGCCACAGGAUUAAGGAAAGGUGUUGACACCCUUAUCGGUACGCACCACUAGGAUAAGGCCACGUGGCAGAAAACUCCAUUAUCUUAUCUUUUCUCUUGUGGGGGAAAUGAAGUGAAUGUGCGGUUACUGGUCUCCACUUGAUCGGUUGCUUUUGGCUCCUUUCGUUUGGGAGAAAAGAAACCAGACGCAUUACCUUAAAUUUAAUGCUUUUGGUCUUUUGGACCUCUUAUUUACCAUGUAUGAUUUAAUUUGGCUUAACACUUUCUUUGGAAAUAAGGUCGCAUUAAAAAAUAGUUAUAACAAAAUUAUUUAAAUUUGAUAUUUACAUAAAUAUAUUGUAUGAUAUUUAUCCGGACAAAAAAAAAAGCUUUAACCAUCUCCAAUAUUUGUUUCUAUUAUUUUCUUUCUGAAUAUAGAGGAAAAAAUAUAAUAGAGAUUUAUAUUUUAACUUCAAUGGUUCCUCAAAAAUUCGUUAGAAAAAAUAAAUAAGAGAAAAAAUAAAAAUCUCUAUUUUUUGCUUUAGAAAAAAAAUUAGAAAUUUCUAUUUUACAAAUGAAAAUAGAGAUGAGUUAGAGUUAAAUAAAUACAAAAAUAGAGUAUAUAAAUAAAAAUAGAGAUAGAUUCGAGAUGCUCUUAAAAAUAUUCAUUACUCUUUCCGUUUUAUUAAUAUCAAUUGUUAAGAUUUUUCAGGCAGACUUAUAAAUAAGAUUCCAUUUCAGACUAAUGGAAGUAAACCUAUCAAAAGAAUUCUAACGUGCUGUAGAGAGACUCCUUCGUCAUCGUCCCUUUUGUGAAAGAGUAAAUUAAAGAAUCCAUAAUGAGCAUAGUGUAAGAAGAACCAUUUAUCUAUUAGAUAUAUUCUAGUACUGGUAGACUGUCGAUUCUGGAUACAUCCUGAAAAUCAUUUACCACAAUAAAUUGUCGAUAAUCUUUUUGUUGGAAAAGUUAUAUAUUAUCUUCAAAUGAUAAUAUAUUAGUCGACAAAAGAAAAGCGAGACAAAAUUUGAAUACAUUGAUUUCGGUUAAUUCAAUACUUUCACUUCAUUUUUAGCAAAUAGUACUUUUAUUUCUGAUUUUUAUGUGGCUAGGAUAAAAGCAAAACCUUACUGGUUGGAGAGAGUAAAUAUUUGAGUCGAUACUAACAACAACUACAUCAUGCAAGAUAUGUUUGUGGGACAAAGAGACCGAGCGAACAAACGAAACGGCAAAACCAUCAUCUACAUGUAUCAAGUGCGCGGUAAACCCCUCAUGGAAGAAUUUCCAAGAAAACCUCCCAAAGUCCAUGGUAUCUUCUAUAUGAGGUAAUGCACGCUGCCUCUAGAUCAACAAGUAAUAUCAGCUCACGAUUAUCUUGCGACUCUGAUCACAUCACAAUAACAAUGGGGAACCCACAUACGCAACCGUUCUCCUUGGAGUACCAUGCCAUUGCACUUACGGCCCCCUCAAGCACAAAUAUGGCACCUCAAGCUGAUUUCCACCAUGCAAACUUGAGUAUGUAAUCAAAGGUGUAGAACGGAGUCAAGAACUCAUCUUAAAGUCACAUAAAACUAUGGUCAUGCACUCAUGGAUCACGACUACUACCUUCAGGCUCACAAAUUAAUGCCCCCUUUUCAAUCAUAUAUAUGAGAAGAAACGUGUACAAAGUACACAUUAACUGGUCACGAAAAAACUUUCGUGUAGGGAAAAGGAUCACAAGGUCCACUCCACUCCGCACCUCAGCUAAAUAAAUCAUUUUUCGAAAGUGAGAUAGUCUUAACUCUUAAGUCUUAACCCAUCCAUCUAAGUUACUAGUUUCUGUCUUUUAUAAGUCAUUUUGUUUCUUUUUCUUGGAUUUUAAUUGAAGCCAAAAUGUGUGAAUUAAAUCCGGGAGAUGGAAAAAAUGUUCGAUAAUUUGAAUUAUUAUUUUUAUAUGUAUUUUGUAUUUGAAUCAUGAAUUUUUUAUAUUUCGUUUGCAUAGAAGAAUCCAAAAACAUAUGAUUUUUUGUCAAAACAAAAACUUAAAACCAAACAUAUAGUAGAUGCGACGUUUUCAUUAUCAUUUGGAAUCUAGUUUUAUUUAGAACUUUUUGGGAACGUUAACUACUUUUCCUUCUAAAUAACUGUUUCAGCUUUUAAUGCAUAACCAAUGAUCAAAUUUAACGUAAACAAAAUUUCCAAAAUUUAGUAACUUCAUGCUUGACAAAUUUCAGUCUUUGUCGAUCCUUGCUUUAUGUAAUGCUAUUUCUUGACUUAAUAUCCCACUUAGGGGUUUGGAAUACAUGUUUUAUGUUUAUAAUUUUAAAAGAUGCAUUUGAAUUUUCUGUAUAUACUACCUUUUCCAAAUCUCCAAUGGCUAUGUCAUCUGAAAAAUGGUUACACUCCCUUACAUAAACUUUUCUCUAAAUAUCGAGGUUUGAUUGAUUGCUUUCAUGUGCAAAAUUUCUUAAAACAAUGUAGCAAGUUUUUCUUUUUUUAUUAGAGUUUAUUGGUUAGUCUAGGGAGUCAAAAGCAAGAAUUAUGAGGAUAAUUUAAAGGAGCCACAAUGUUGUUUAAAGGAGCUAAACGAAAAAUAAGAUUUCAAAGAUUUAAGGGCAAAAAUGAAAUGAAAUGAUAACUAUAAUUAUAGAGAAACUGAUAGGAAUAACAUUUUCACUUUCAAACAAUAGUUCCUCAACUGUUAAGUCGGCAAAUAAUUUCUUAAAUUUGCAUUGACCACAUAGAAAUGGGUUCCAGAAUAAUCAACGCUGAAUAUUCCAGAAAGGGGAUUAAGCUUCGGUGAAGCUUGGGGGCUUGUAGGCAAUGAAACUGAUGCAUUGGACUUGACGGGUGUUGUCGAAUCCGAUGAUCCUAAUGAAGGCGCCAGGGUACUCCUUCUUGCAUUCUUCAACUUCCUUCAACACUUGAGCGGAGUCGGUGCAUCCGAACAAUGGAAGCUUCCACAUUGUCCAGUAUCGUCCAUCAUAGUAUCCGGGAGUGUUUCCGUGCUCACGGUACACAAAUCCGUGCUAUAUAUAAAGAAAACCAUUCAAUACAAUUGAUAUAUAUAUUGGUGAUAGUCUAUUUCGGUUAUCCACUUAAGUUUCUAGCAAUGAAGAAGAAGAAUAAAGGAUGCUUAGAGACAAAGGAAAAGUUCAGUGUAUAUUACCUCCAACUCGAAUUCAACACAAGGAAUCCACUUGUUGCGGAGAAGGUAGUCAACUUCCUUAGCCAAUUCAACGUCACUAAGGUCAGGGAGGUAAGAUAGAGUCUCAAACUUCUUCUUUCCGAUUGGUGGCCACACCUAUAAAUUCGAAUUCCCAAUUAUUCUAAAGUAUUGUUCAGUUGCACUAAUUGCACAUGACAAAAGACAGUUUUCAUUAAUGACAUUUACCUUCAUGCAGCUAACUCUUCCUCCGUUGCUUGUGAUGGAAGUAAUGUCGUUGUUGGCCUUGCGGGUGACCGGGAAAGAAGCGGAUGACUUCAAGCCGGUGAAUGGAGCGACCAUGGUGGCUUGAGCCGGGGAGGUAACCACAGCGGUGGAGGAGAACAUAGAGGAAGCCAUUACUUCUUCUUGUUGUUUCUCUUCUUCUUUUGGUUUUUCUCUUACUUACUUGUUUGUCUGUUGGUUUUGUCAUCUUUAUAUAGUGGGAACCGCUAGAGGCAACUAGCCCUAAUGAUCAAAGGGGCCAUAAUUCAUGAUAACGUCGUUAAUUGCCACAGGAUUAAGGAAAGGUGUUGACACCCUUAUCGAUUUGGACCACUAGGAUAAGAUCACGUGGCAGAAAACUCCAUAAUCUUAUCUUUCUCAUGUAAGGGUAGGAGUGAAUGUGUAUGGCUACUGGUCUCCACUUGAUCGGUUGCUUUUGGCUCCUUUCAAUUGGGAGGCGUCAAAUUGUAGAUAUCGGUUAAAUACUUUUUACAUAUAGAUUAAAAAAAUGAUUAAAUUUCUAUUACCUUAUAUUAACACAUUCAUAUUUUUAUUUUUCCACUUGAUAAUCUUAAAUAAUAAGAAUAUAAGUAUAAUCUUUGAAUUCAUCCCACAUUUUAAAAGUAUAAUUAAAUCAGACAGAGUUCAUUCAAAAUGGUUUUUAAUUGGGAAAUGUAAACUAGUAUUUUGUGUUAUUAUUUUCUAUGUAGUAUGUACGAUCACUAGAACUUUUAGUCACAUAAUGGAUAUUAAAUUAGAAAACAAUCCAAAUGCUUGUGAAUUUUCAGGUUUUACGGCUAAUUAAUAUAUUUCUGAUGAACAAGAGGAACCCACGGCACCGUUCCUUUUGGAGCACAACGCAAUUGCACUUACGGCCCACUUAAGCACGAAUGUGGCACCUCAAGAUAAUUCCCACCAUGACAACUUAAGCACAAAAGCCAUGACGGAUCAUGGGGAAAUUUUAUAACACACUUCAAUGGAUGGUGUGGAUCCGAGGGAAGAAUCCACACUCUAAGGCCACAUGAAGAAGCUCAUAUGGUCAUGGGUCCACGAAUACCACGUAAAAGCUCAUAUAUGCCCCGGUCCAACCAUAUGAGAAGAAGUAGCCAAACCCAUUCAAGAAACAUUGAUUACUUUUCAUUGUAAAUAAGUGUUUUAGCUUUGAAUGUAUCGUAAACUAUCUAAUUUAAUGUAAAACAGUUUCCAAAUUAUAAAUAUUCAUGCUUUGUUAUCUCCAUUAUAAAUUUCAUUAAUUCUUGCGUGUCCUUGCUUGCUAUGAUGUCAUCUCUAAAUUUUUGGACUUGCGGCUCUAGAAUUCAUGUUUAUGGAUUUAAAAUAUACAGUUGGAUUUUUCUAUGUCAUUUUAAAAAAGAAAAUUUUUAGAUUAGAUUUUAAAAAGAGAAAUAAACGUGUUUACAACUUAAUGCAUACUUUUUUGAAAAACAAAUCUAAAACAGAGGAUUUGGUCUUAAGCUUGUCUUGUACCAAACCAAACUUGAAGACCUCCUUCAUACUUCAAAGCUCCCCCCACUCCGUAUUGUGCUCAGCCGGUUCCAAACAUUUUUGUCAAUUAACUUGACAAGUUUCUCCAUUGGUGAUGGUUGUUCACCAUGCUUUCAAGCAUUUCUUUCUCCCCAAAUCGAAUGAACCGUGUUUUGGAAGACAUACCGUAGAAUGAAGAUUUUUGUUUUGUCAUAGUUUUUGUCACAAAUGGUUUUAAAGACUUCCCUCCAAUAUGUCGAGUACUUAUCAAGUAGUAUUCCCCUUAUCAGCUUCUCCCAUACCUUCUGCGAGUAAGAGCACCCAAAAAAAAGAUGGUGUCUUGUUUCCAUAGGUUCGUGACAGAACAUGCAGUUUGUGUUCACUUGUUGAUUCCAUUUAAACAUUCUGUCUCCCGUGGCAACUCUGUUUUUUGAAGCUAGCCAACUGAGAAAGGAGUAGUUAGGGUAAAGUAAAAGAAACAGAUCCCUUUGUAUCCGUCCAUCGUAGGCUUAGUGUUGCGAAUUUUUGAGCAUGUAUCUCUUGUGACAAACUUUUGACGGUAGUGAUCAUUUUUUCCUUUCCAAAGGGCUAUGUAACUUUCAUCUUCUCUGAGACGACAUCUCUAUUUUCUACGUAUUUUUACUACCUUUACUGGCUGUUUUUCAUCUUUAAAUUAAAAUGUUCUAAAUCAACCCUCAAAAUUUGAUUGAUGGACGCAUCUUUGCUAUGCUUUCAAGUGCGAAAUGUACCUAAAAAGGGUACUCUUUCAUUAGAGAACCAAAGGCAAGAAUUAGGAGAGAAAUUUAAAGGAACUAAAAUGUUAGUUAAAAGAGAUAAAACGAAUAAAAAGAGUUAAAAGUGAUAAGAGCAGAAAUGAAGUGAUAUGAAUAGAGAUUUUUAUAGAGGAAACGAUAGAAAAACAAACCUUCAGUUUUUUCACUUUGGCAAAAUAAUUACUUAAAUUUACAUUGACCAUACAAAAUUGGGUUCCGGAUAGUCAACAUUGAAUAUUCCAGAAAAGGAUUUAAGCAUCAGUGAAGCUUGGGGGCUUGUAGGCAAUGAAACUGAUGCAUUGGACUUGACGGGUGUUGUCGAAUCCGAUGAUCCUAAUGAAGGCGCCCGGGUACUCCUUCUUGCAUUCUUCAACUUCCUUCAACACUUGAGCGGAGUCGGUGCAUCCGAACAAUGGAAGCUUCCACAUUGUCCAGUACCGUCCAUCGUAGUAUCCGGGAGUGUUUCCGUGCUCACGGUACACAAAUCCGUGCUAUAAACACAUAAGAAAACCAUUCAAUACAAUUGAUAUUGGAGGAUAUGCACAAGGUGAUAUAGUCUAUUUCGGUUCUAAAAAAUCCGGUUAUAGGCUAAUAUUUCUAGCAAUGAAAACGAAAAAAAUAAUAAUGAUUAGUAGACAAAGGAAAAGUUUUGUGUAUAUUACCUCCAACUCGAAUUCAACACAAGGAAUCCAUUUGUUGCGGAGAAGGUAGUCAACUUCCUUAGCCAAUUCGACGUCAGUAAGGUCAGGGAGGUAAGAUAGAGUCUCAAACUUCUUCUUUCCGAUUGGUGGCCACACCUAUAAUUCCCAAUUCCCAAUUAUUCUUAAGUAUUGUUCAGUUGCACUAAUUGCACAUGACAAAAGACAGUUUUCAUUAAUGACAUUACCUUCAUGCAGCUAACUCUUCCCCCAUUGCUUGUGAUGGAAGUAAUGUCGUUGUUGGCCUUGCGGGUGACCGGGAAAGAAGCGGAUGACUUCAAACCAGUGAAUGGAGCGACCAUGGUGGCUUGAGCCGGGGAGGUAACCACAGCGGCAGAGGAGAGCAUAGAGGAAGCCAUUACUUCUUCUUCUUCUUCUUUUGCUUAAUUGUUUUUCUAUUGGUUUUGUCAUCUUUAUAUAGUGAGAACCGUAAGAGGCAAAAAGCCCUAAUGAUCAAAGGGUCCGGGAUUCAUGAUAACUCGUUCACUACCACAUGAUUAAGGAAAGGUGUUGACACCCUUAUCUUAUCUUUCUUUUGUGAGGAAAUGAGUGAUUGUGUAUGGUUUACUAGUCUCCACUUGAUCGGUUGCUUUGGCUCCUUCCUUUUGGAAGAAAAGAAAUCAGAUGCAUGACCGUAAAUAUAAUGUUUUGGACCUUUUAUUUAUCUUGUAUGUAUUUUUAAAAUUUGGUUUACAUUACUUCGGUUAAUAAAUACUAUAACAGGAAUAUCUAUAAACAGAGUCAUGACUCAUAAUGCAUUUCACAAUGUCAAAGCUGAACGUUGAGAUAAAUUUAUCAAUAGCACUAAAUAUUAAUCCGCGGUAUACCGCGGGUCUAUAUUUUCAUUAAAUAAAAAAUAAUUGAAUAUUUCUUAGGAUGACUUAAUAAAUUUCUGCUAUUGUUUGAUUUAAAUGUAUAAUUCACCGCGAGACAAAAUUUUAUAACUCAAAUUUUAAAGUUUUAAGUUGUAUUUGUUUAUUUUGUUAAAUGUUUAAUAUUGUAUAAUUGUAUUUUGAUUGUUGUUUCUCGGAUUUCACCCGUAGUACACCAUCCCAUAUUAAUAUCGAAUCAAACCCGUCAAUUCUAGGAUUUCACCUGUGGUAGUAUUUAAUUGUAUAAUAAUAACUUGAUUGUCAUUCUAGGAUUUCACUCCUAGUUCUAUCGCAAAUUAUUAUCAACUCAAACCAGUCAAUUCUAAAAUUUCACCCGUUGUACACCAUCCCAUAUUAAUAUCGAAUCAAGCCCGUCAAUUCUAGGAUUUCACCCGUGGUAGUAUUUAAUUGUAUAAUUAUAUUUUAAUUGUCAUUCUAGAAUUUUACUCCUAAUUCUAUCGCAAAUUAUUAUCAACCUAAACCAGUCAAUUCUAAAAUAUCACCCGUAGUACACCAUCCCAUAUUAAUAUCGAUUCAAACUCGUCAAUUCUAGGAUUUCACCCGUGGUAGUAUUGCGAGAGAAAUCUUAUAAAAGAAUCGAAAUGUGUUUUAAAAAAAUUAAAGUUUUAAGUAUUUUUUUUUAAUAUUGUUAAUUUUGUUUAGUGCUUAAUAUUAUAUAAUUAUAUUAUGAUUGUUAAUUAUAGGUUUUUUUCGUAGCAUAUCAUCCAAUGUUAUAAUUCACUCAAAGCCGUCACACCAUAUAACCCCGUCCCGUUAAAUUAAACACAAAUUUGUCAUUUUAUUAUAAAUUUCAAAUAUUUAUAAAAUUAGAAACUUCAAAAAAGAUUAAUAUUGACCCAAACUUCAUCAUUGAAUUUUGAGUGUUAUAUCUAAGAUUUCUCUCGCAGUAUAUCGUCCCGUAUUAAUAUCUUUUAUAUUGUUUAAAUUUCUUGUAAAAUUUGAUUUAUAAUUUUUUGAAACUUUUUAAAGUUUCAAUUCUUUAAAAUAAAUAACCCUAGUAAACAAACCAUUUUAAUUUUGGACACCUCAUAAAUCAAGUUUCAUGCUCAUUCGUAAUCGAAAUUAUUUUGGUCCUUUUUAUAGUAUGGCUCUGAACCAUUGUCCAAUUUUUUUAAGCGAUGUGGGACAUUGUACAAUCGUAAUUAUUAUCCACCCAAACCCGUCCUACCAUAUAACCCAGUCCCGUGAAAUUAAACAUAAUUUUGUCAUUUUCUUAUAAAUUUCAAUAUUAUAAAAUUUGAAACUUACAAAAAAUAAAAUAUCGACCUUGAUUAUAUUUAAGAUUUUUCCUGUAAUAUAUCGUCUUGUAUUAAUAUAUUUUAUAUAUAUAUUUAUAAUGUUUAAAUUUCUUGUAAAAUUCAAUUUAUAAUUUUUAAAACUUUAUCAGUUUUAAAAUUAUAAAUAUUUAAAGUAUUUUUUAAAGAUAAACUUUAUAAAAAGUUUUUAAAAUUAUAAUAUUUAACUUUUGAUAAAGUUAUAAUAUUUAUAAUUUCUUGAAACAUUUUAAAGUUUCAAUUCUUUAAAAUAAAAAACCCAAGUAAAUCGGAUAACUAUUUUAAUUUUGGACGACUGAUAAAUCAAGCUUCCUGCUCAUUCGUAAUCAGAAUCAUUUUGGUCCUUUUAUAAUAUGGGUCUGAAACAUUGUCCAAUUUUUCUAAGCGAUGUGAGACAUUGUAUACAUAUUAUUUCUUCAUACUUUGAAUAAUAUAUGUCCGUUUAAAAAAAUUUGAAUUACAUCAUAUGCAGAAAAAAAUAUAAUAUUUUAUUAACUAUAUAUAUUUUAUAUAAAUUCAAAAUAAAUAAAGUAUAAGAUCAAAUAAAAGUGAAAGAAGAAUUAUAUAUUUAUGUUUAAAUUAGGUAAAAAUAUUUUAGGAAAUUAGUUAAGGUAAAUAACAAAUAUGGUUCGUUUAGAGAUAUUGUUUAUAUUAAAUUUGGUAAUUAAAUCAUUAAUUUUUGUUUUUAAUUAUUAGUUUUUAGGUAACUUUUCCAAAAAUUAAUGUUAUCGAAGAUCAGAACAUAAUUAAACAUGUUAUCCAAGAUCCGAACAGAGUUAAACCGGGUUAUACCCACCCAUUUGAAUUAAUUGUUGAAUUAUGGCUCAAAUCUUCAAUAUUAUCUUCUAAAAACGUCUACAAAAAUGUAUAUAUAGAAGAUUACUCUUUUUAACUAAAUGCAAAAAAGGAAAACCGAUAAGAAUAAGAAAAAAAUAGCAAAAUUGAUAAAUGGAUUAGUCAAGAAAACCAUGUUUAAAUAUAGGAAAUACCAAAAAUGAAAGGAUAGCCAUGUGAUACGCUUGUAUAAAAAGAAAUUGUCCCUAUUGAUUACUUCAAAAAAAAAAAAAAAAAAUAAAUAAAUAAAUAAAUAAAGAGGCCAAUUCGACAAUAAAGGCAAUGCAUAGUCUCUCGUGGUUUCUCCUCGUCAUUGGAUUAUCCGUAGGGUUGAGUAGCGGAAAGUGGAAUGAGAAAAACUCUGUCAUCUUUACGAAUUCUCUUGGUCGGAACAAAGUCUUGAAAGUAAAUUGCAUAUCAAAUGAUGACAAUCUAGGCUUCCACUUUUUGCGCCAUGGACAAACCUACGAUUUUAGUUUCCACGAUAGUCUUUUCAAAUCAGAAUUCUAUUGUGACCUAUGGCAAGGCCCUAAUUUCAAGUUGCAUGCAGCAUUUACGGCAUAUGAAGGUGGUGGUUUGAUAGUUCAUUAUGGUAAAAAGAACUUUUGGGAUGUUAGAGAUGAUGGGAUCUAUUUCACCCAUGGCCAAAAAAUGCCCAAGUUAGAGUAUACGUGGAAGUAAUAAUUAAUCACUCAAAGGGAAAAGAUGGAAUUUAACUCAUCUUUUUGUUUUAAAGUUUGACAGAAACUUCAUUUUCUUGUGUAUUAUAGUGGACGUGAAACAUUGUAAUAAAUCAUCAAAUUAAGGCACCUUAAUAUGUAAAUGUAUCUUUAGUGUAUUAAAGAGAAACUUUAUAAGUAUGUGAGUUUUUCAAUACGCAAACAUAUCCAAGGCUUACGUCCUAACCAAAACUAAUAUUAAUUUGCACAUAUAUACAUGAUUAAUGAAUAAUGUAAGUAGACAGAGUGAGAGAUCACCCACCAGCUCUCCCUCUCCCCAAGUCAGCUUUCAUUUCAAAUCCUGAAAGGUAUCGUCGCUUGGUAGGGCGACUUAGCUACUUAAUUAGCUGACACCUGAGUUAGCCUAUUCAGUUCACAAAUUAGCACAGUUCAUGCAACAUCCACUUUAAGAACACUGGGAUGCUGUGAUAUGGGUGGUUCCGAUAUCUAAAAUCCAAUCCGCGCCAAGGCCUUUUGCUUCCCAGCUCAUCGACUUUGCAGCGUCAUGGUUGGUGUGAUAGUGAUUGGGCCGCCUGUCCUCUUACUAGACGCUCUCUCACAGGUUAUUUUGUACAACUUGGUGACACAAAAAUCUCAUGGAAAAUGAAGAAACAACUGACUAUCACUCGCUCUUCCGCAGAAGUCGAAUAUCGAGCCAUGACAUUUCUUACUCAAGAACUUAUUUGGCUUAAAAAGGUGAUGCAUGAUCUUGGUGUCUCUCAAGAUCGACCUAUGCGCAUAUUCUCUAACAAUAAGUCCGCUAUUGCUCUAAGUGCCAAUCCGGUUCAACAUAAACGUACAAAACAUAUUGAGGUGGAUGGUCACUAUAUCCAUGAUAUCCAUGCUGGUAUUAUGACUACUACCCAUGUGUCCUCUCAACAACAAUUAGCAGACAUUCUCACUAAGGCGUUGGGACAAAGAGAGAACUCCAUUUCUUUCUCUGCAAGCUGGGCAUUCUUGAUGUAUAUGCUCCAACUUGAGGGAGGGUGUUAAAUAUAUUUGCUACUUAUAUUCUUAUUAUUAGAGUGCAUCUUAGUCAAUAGCUACUAGUCAAGCUUAGUCAACUCUACUUUGCCCCUUUUGGUUUUUCCAUGGUAACCACAUUAUGUACUUUAGGUUAUAUCAUCUUUUUGUAUAAUUAUGGCUUUUAACGCCUAAUCAAGAUAACACAAAUUAAAACCAAUCUCUGUCUCUUGCCUUAAAUCUGACACUCUUUUGGAUAAGUUUCUUUUAAAAGCGUUUAAGAAAAAUUUCAACAUUGCUAAUUAUGAGAUAUAUGUCAACAAACUCAAGGCAUUGUUUUAUAAGAAUACUAGAUAUUUCGCCAAACCACUCAUGCUAUAAUGGGAGUGAAAGUCUUAAAUUGGAAUAUUAAGAAUAAGAUCUUUUAUCAUGACUCGUAAUUCAUAUCACAAAUGUCAAAGCUGAACGUUUCAAUAAAUCUAUCGAAAGCAUUAAUCCUUUAAAUAGAUGUGAAACAGCGAAAUAGAUAAGGGCACAAAGAAAACAGUAAAAGCGAUCAACAAGUUCGUAUGAGUCAAAACUCAAAAAAAAAAACAUGUUUAAAAAUAGGAAAGACCAAAAACUAACGACUAACCAUGUAAUACACUUGUAUAAAAAGACACUAUCCGUCUGUCCCUUUUCAUUAUCUACAGAUUAAUUACUUCUGAAUUUAAAAGAAGGAAGGCCAAUUCAAACAGUCAACAAUGAAUCGGCUCUCGUGUUUUCUGCUCGUUAUUGGAUUGUGCAUAGGAUUGAGUAACGCAAAUUUAAUAUGGAAUGAGAAAAACACUGUAUUCUUCAAGAGUUCCCUUGGUCGAAACAAUGUUUUGAAGAUUCAUUGCACAUCAGAAGACAAUCUAGGUUUCCAUUUUUUGCGUCCUGGAGAAACCUAUGAUUUUAGUUUCCAUGAUAGUAUUGUGAGAUCAGACUUUUACUGUGAAUUAUGGCAAGGGCCUAAUUUCAAGUUUCAUGCAUCAUUUAUGGCAUAUCAAGGUGGUGGUCUCAUAGUUCAUUAUGGUAAAAAGAACUUUUGGGAUGCUAGAGAAGAUGGAAUCUAUUUCACUCAUGGCAAAGAAACGCCCAAGUUAGAGUAUAAGUGGAAAUAAUAAUUAACCACUCAAUGUAUGAUGGAAUUGAGAUCAUCUUUUUUUACUUUUAACAAAAGCUUAUUGUUCUUGUGUACUAUUGUGGAAGGGAAACCUUUGAAAUAAAUUUAUCGAAAGUAUGUGAACUUUUGAAGACGAAAACUUUCAAUACUUAAGUCCUCAUCUAAACUAAUAUUUGUAGUUAAAUGAUUAAUGAAUAAUUAAUGUGAGAAAAUCCCUAAAAGAAUGGUGGAAAAAAAGGAAGAUGUGUCAAAUGAUUUUUGACUCAAAUUAGUUAAUCGGUAAACUAAAUACCUGAGUUAUGUAUGCUUUGGCAAAACACACUUAAUUGGGCUCACUAAUUGAAUUUACAGAUUAAGAUUUCGUCAAAGCCCAACAAAUAACGAUAUCCUAAUAUUUUUGUAGUAUAUGCAGCCCAUCACUUUAAAAAUUCCCGAACCAGAAUGCUACAUCAAAAUUAUAGCAUUCACAACAUGUUUCUUUUUGUCCAAGUGAGUUUGGAUGUAGAAAUUUGGAUACAAAACAAGUUGCAUAUUAUGAUGCAAUCGAAACUAGAGUUUAAAUGCAUCAAUUCCAUCUAUAACUAAUUAACGUAAACGACUAAAAAUCAACUAAUAUUGUCUAUGUCGACCCAAGUUAAUUCGGGUCCGCUUUUGCGAUACUUCCAGGGAUUUGUUCUAUUUUACCUUGCUUGUAGGACAUGUUCUAUGUUCUAAGCUUUUACAAUUCAGGUUGUAAGUGAAGCGUAUUUUUGUUUCAUUGCUUGUAAAUGAAACAACACAUAGUUUGUUAACGGAGUUGAUGGUUUCUAACCGCUAUAUCUCGUAGAAAAACUCUUGCUCCCAAGCUUCACUAUAUAAGGAAGAGGUUGCACACAUGACAUCACUACUAACUUUCGAUGUUGUCUUUUAAUUUUACGUUCACUCCAGAAACACAAGGAUAAAAACAACACACACACACACAAACAAAACAAAACAAAACAAAACUUGCUUGGAAAAUCUUAGUUUUUCACUUUCUCUAAAACUCUUUUUUCUUUUUUCGUCUUGUAUCACUUAUUACAUUUAUAUCUGAGCCUUUGUUAUGUAUAUAUAGCUGUAUGCAUUUGGGGCAAAGCCCUUCCGAGAACAUGUCUCCCUUCUAUGUCAAACUUCGUCUUGUGACUCUUGACCAUGAAAGCCCAUUUUUUGGGUGUGUUAGAGCAUCUCCAACAAGCCUUCUAACCUUCAAUUUAUUUUGAACCCUCUAACCCUUAUAUUUUUAGGAUGUAAAUAGUGCACCUCGAAUUUUAUGGUGCAUUUUUUACACCCUCAGGCCUCAACAACCAAAACUGAUUAUUGUUAAUAUUGCACAUAACAAGAGAACGGAAAAAUACCUUGGUAGUUUCAUAUCUGUAACAUAGUCAGACGUAUCAUUAGUUUAUUUAAAACAGUUGUACCACGAUUGUCUACGAAUACAGAAAAGGAAAAAAAAAACGAAUAUGAAAUUUUUUCCAAGGAAAAAUAACUAGUACUACGAUUUAAUGUACAAAGAUAUAACUUAAAAACCUCUGUCAAAAAUAUCAUAUAAUAAAUAUUUCUUAUAUUAAAUAUAGGAAACACAAUUCAAUAUGUAUAAGAAAAACAAUAGUAUUUUCACAUUUCCACCAAAUCUUCUAUGAUUUCAAAGAUUUUUAAUCUUUUGAUAGUGGAAGGAUCUUUGUUUAUAAUCGUCAAAGAAGAUACAGUAUCACAAUUAGAUUUAGAUACACAUGCGUGUGCAUGUAUUUUCUAAAAACAAGAAAAAUUAUACUCUCAUAUAAUAUGCAUUCUCACUUACGAAUAACUAAUUUGCAUAGGGUGUUGAUUGCGAUACUGAAUUGAUCAAAAGAUUAUUUCUUUGCUAUGUUCUUUAUUGGGGCGUAUCUAAAAUUAUGACGAUAUGUUUUUGACUUGUCAAUUCAGAAGAUUGUACCACUGAAUUAUUCUAUACAUAUUAUAAAAAUUAUACAUUUCAAAUAUGUUUUUUUCCACAUUUUGUACGAUUUUCAGACUUGAACUUUCAGAAGAAAAAAAAAACAUUUGCCUUUAAAAAUACAAACUAUAUUCAAAAUCUAAUUGAAAACAAAGAAUGACAGAAGACAACACAAAUGCGCAAAAAAAAAUAAAAAAAUCAUGAUCGUACAUAUGAAAGAGUUUCUUUUAAAUUUAUCAAAAAAAAAAAAUCGUGAAGGAUUUUCUUUUAAAACUUUUUUUAACUUUCUGCAAUGUGGUAUUUUUAUACAUAUGCCACAUAACACAAAUGUUUUUUUUUCUUUUCCAUUUAAUCCGACUAAGACCUAAUAAUUAAAAGAUAUACCUAUCAUAAGUUACCAGUUUUAUUUAUUUCUGAUCAAUUUCAAAGGUUACUGACCACAUAUCAAAAAAUAUUAUAAGAUAUAAAGAAGCAAGAAUCAACCUUAGUCAUUGUAAGUGCAAAGGCUGCCACCAAACUUAACCAAGAAAAAUUAAAUAUGAACUCCUUUUCCCCCAUCACUAAUCAUUCUUUUUGUUUCUUUGAUUAUUAAAUUUCAUGUUUUAUGUUUGUUUAUUAUUUUAAGGCUUAUCUAGAUUGAACCCAUCUUAAUAUUACAUUAUGACUUAUUAUUAUUGAAUUUCAACUCACUUUCUAAGCCAAUAAAGGUGAUCGAUGGACAUAUGCUUUUGGCCUUAUGCCAGAGAGUUAUUGAUUUAUACCAGUUGCAGUCUCAAAGCACAUAAUAUGACCUUACACAUAGACAACAGUCACAACUUUUCAUAUCUUUGUGUCUUUAAAUUAGAACUAAGAAGAUUUAUUUAUAUAUGUACAACUAGUCUUUUUUGAAUAAACUAAAACAAAAGCUUUAAUUUGGCCUAAAGAAAACACAAUCAUUUGGAAGAUGUGGUAAUUAUAUAAUACAUUUAUUCGAAAUCUCCUUCUCAGCCUUCUUACUUCGAAUAACAUAUCUACUAUAUUUUUGGCAUAUCAAUAGUUUUUUUGGAGUUUUAAAAGUAUGUGUAUAAAAGAAGUUUAAGAAUAACAAUUCAAAGAUAUAUGUCAUCCAUAAACAUAUUUCUUCUACUACCAUAGAUCAUAUUAAAUUCAUUUACUACACAAGUUUAUGUUUCAAAUACUAUAUUUUAAAACAUGUUACAUAAACCAAUCAUGCGGGUUUUUGAGUUUGUUCUCGUCACACUUUACACAAAACAAUAGAAAAUGUCUUUUUGAGGAAAAAGAAUUAACAUAAUUUGAUGUCAUAGUAACAUUUAUUCCGAUUUGUAUCCCUCAUGAAAUUCAAAAUCUCCCUCAAUCUCAAAAUCUUCCUUCUAGCCGUGCUUUACCAAGGCAUUCCAAAUCAAACUAUUUAAACCGCGAAAAUCCUCAUGAAACCAAUGGCUUCAAUAUCACUUGAACUCCAUACUUAGGUUUUAUAGUAAGCACAACGAUUGGGGCAUGCCUAUAAUUCUUUGAUAUUGUGAAGUUAAACUUUGAAAUUAACGUGGCUAAUAUUAUUUUAGCUUCCAUCAACGCAAACUGUUGUCCGAUGCAGUUCCGUGGACCGGCUGCAAAUGGGAUGAAAUGGCGACCAGACGCGAAUGGUCUGCCUCCAAAACGUUCGGGAUUGAAUUGGUUCGCGUCUUUACCCCAUAAUUCUUCACUGUGAUGGAUAGCAAGAACCGGUAUCCAUAUUGAUAAACCUUUAGGAAUGGUUAGAUCACCUAGUUUUAGAUCUUCAAAUGCCAUCCUUGGUAGAAGAGUAGCUGGAGGGUAAAGUCUUAGUGACUCGUUAAUCACUUUGCUUAACUGUUCCAAAGACAAAGAAAAAGAAGUUAGAAGACUAUUCUAUUAAUUCAUUUUGGAAUCAUAUCUUUGUGAUCAUGCGAAGUGCUUCUUGACUCUUUCUCAAACAUCUUUUAGUUUGGGAAUUGACUUUUCCUUUUGAAAAAAAUAUCAAUGAAGCUGUCAAGAUCUAAUCAUUAGUUAAUACAUGUUUAGAUUUCUUAGAUAAUAUUUUAUGCAAAGCAUGCCUUAGUGCUAAUCACUAAACAAAUGGAAGAUGUCUUAUUUAACCAUUUAUUUAUGCCUGAAAGAUCUAUUUACCAAUAUCUAUAUCGUAUCAAAUUUCAAACCUGGCUUAACCAAUGCUAAUCAUAUCUAAAUAGUAUCACUAUAAAACUAAUCAGAAAGUAUGAUUCUAUGUAAAUCGGUUAUAAUAAACAUGUAACGAUUUAACCCAAUAUGAAUAUAUCUUUAAAGCUCAAUAAACAUACACAUUGUUAAAAAACAAUAUUUGUGUUCUAACUAGGAUUGAAGAUAAAGGAAUAAAGACAAAAUUAAAUGAUAUCUACUCAUUAGGGUUCUUCUGUGCCGACUAUGACUAUGUUAUAAGCUUAGUUAUGGAAGAAGCACUACGAUGCUAGUGGCAUUGUCUAUACUGUGUUAAAUGUUAAUACCCCACACGCACCCAUCCAUCCAUCAUAAAGCUAAUUCUACUAGUCAAAUAAAUUAAUAGGUUACUAUAAUAUAUAGUUAUAUGAUUAUUAUUUGGAGCAAACAACAAAUAUUAUCUUUUUAUAUCUAUGAGUUAAUGGAGUUCGAGUCACUGAUGCGUGGUCAGACAAAAACUUAAGGUUGAAAAGUUGAAACGGUCACUGAUGGAUUAGUACUAAACCGUAUUUUCAUGAUUUUUUAACAACACCAAACUCAUGAAUGGUGAGCCGACGUAACCGCAAGUAGACUAAUAUGUCUCGUCUGCUAGCUAUUUACGUUCCAAACUUAGGUAAAACUUAAUUCCUAUGUUAACAAUCUCACCAAAAGAUAAGACUUUGCAAGAGAAGGACUAAUUUUAUGUCUAGAUUUUAGAAGUUAUUGUAUAAUAUGUAUUGAAAAGUGAAUGUACGUACCGAGGUUAGCUUAGAUAGUUGAUCGACUGAGGGAAGGCCAUUGCGGCCAAAGACCUCCCUGACCUCCUCACGGACUUUUUCCUGCCAUGUGGGAUUAUCGGCGAGGAGCAUUGUUGUCCAUGUGAGGAGCAAAGCCGUGGUUUCAUGGCCAGCAAAGAAGAAUGUCUUGCAUUCAUCCAUUAUCAACUGAAGAUUGUUGUUGUUAUUGUUAUUGUUCUUGUCAAUAUCCAUUUCGUUCAAGAGAAGCCCGAGAAGGUCGUCACCGUGAGUGCUACUCCUACCCAUUUCAGCGCAGUCUCGCCUGCUUUGUAUGAUCUCAAUCAACAAACGCUCAACUUCUUUUUUCAGAGACUUGAUCUCUCUGUUGUAUUUGCUUGGAAGAAACCUACAUAUACAAAAGAUUUGUUAUUAAGUCAAUGUUAGACCACAGUUAAAGUUUAAUCCUAAAACAAUAUACGUUUUAAAGCUUCACCGAGGAUCACAACAAAUAAAUAGAAAAACUAAAUUUUGUUAUGUAUAACUUAAUGUUUAAGAAUUUGUAUGGUGGCAGCCGCGGUCUGUCUGCUGCCACCAUUACUGAAAAUAUAGAGAUUAAUUACGAUUUCUAGGGUGAGGAAGAAAACCAACCGGCUGCCGGGAAAGCAGAGGUGGCGGGUGGCUUGAGCGCAACGGCGCUGGAGGACAGUGAGGUGGUUGAAAAGCUCUUUGCCUUUCUCAAAGCUGCUUCCGAACUUUGUCCUCGAUAUAAUAUCAGCCGUGAGUUUAUGCAUCUCCUCUCCUAUCUCCACCUCAUUUGCUCCUUCCCCAACUUCCUUCCUCAACCUCUCAACUAGCUUGCUUGUGCACUCCACCAUAUGCCUUGCGUAUCCCUACAUCAUAAGGGUACUUCAGUCAUUCAACGUCAAGUAACUAAGCAUUGUUUUUUGCAUGAGGCUAGUUUAUUGACGUGCCUUGAGUCUUUCUCCGGUAAAUGCCGGUGCAGCAAGGUGGCGUUGGUGGUGCCAAUCUUGGCCAUUAGCCAUUAGGAGACCGCGACCGAUAAAAUUCUUAGUCCCUUGUUGUUGUAGCCACGAUCUUCCACUAACACCGUUGUGUUUCAUCAGCAACUCCUUUAUCAAUUCCGUUUCCGUUAAGCAAAGCCGAGGAUCCGUCCCGUUCCACACAAUAAACCUCUUCCCUGUUUCAUCAAAACGUAAAUUUAUCUAAGGAUUACUCAUUUUAUUACAUGUAACCCUCCUUUAAUCAAAGGCCAAACAUUCUUCAGUAUGUUUUACGGAGAAAAAACAAAAAAUACAUGGAGGGUAUUUCCGUCAUUUUAUCUGGCUCCAUUGAUAGAUGUCACUUACAAUUAACAGACCAACUUAAUAACGAAAUCUAUGUAUAGACUUCACGACCAAGAAAACACAAACUUGUUACAAUUCAAGACCAUACCGUAUUGUUUGGACCAAGCAACGUAAUGCGGGAGAAGGCGGCCGACGAUGUCAUGGUGAAUAGAGUCACAAUCCUUGGAAGCGGAUUGCGAAACCAUGGCCGAGAUUUCAAGGAUAUUUCCGGUUAACGGACGCGGUUUAGGACCCGUUACGCCUUGCUGUUCCAUGAUCUUCUUGAUUCGUCUAGGUGUUAGCCAGUAGCACGAUAUGGUGUCGUAUAAAACUCUCAAUAUCGUAGUCACGAAUAUCACGAGGAGUGAUUUUAAUAUAGUAAGCAACAUUUUUGGGUUUUUUCUUUUCUUCUUCCAGCAACAAAGAUUCGAAAAGAAAAACAAGAGAUAUUAAGAGGGUGAGAUAAAGAGUAAUGGUGUAUUUAUAGUGUCGAGAUACAAUAUAAAUUCAUGUAGGGUACUAAAUCUGGGAGAACUAAUUAUGGUAUAACUUUGUUGCAUAUUCUCACUUAAAGAAAUGGAAGAUAUUGAGACUAAUUAAAUUAGUAAAUCUCGUUAUUUUUUACCUUGCUUGGCUAAACGUUUCCAUUUAAUUCUUAUACUUUUAAGAGAGACACUCCAAAUUAUUAUUACAGAAACAAGUUGUGACAUUUCACAAAUGCCAACUUUGGGAAGUUUCCAGAACUACAAAAAAAAAAACAUUUAUGUUCACGAAGGGUUCCUAAAAGUUUAAGAAAUAAAGUAUCCCUAAAUUUUUAAGAACUCUUCUUAAAUUAUAAGAAAUGUUUCAAUCAUUUAGUAUUACUUCCUGAAUUUUUAAAACAUUUUAUAAGAUUAAAAUUUGUGGCCUUUUCUUAGAAAAUGUUGUAUACCAAAUAUGAUUAAAAAAAAAAAAAAAAAAACUCAUUUCCUGAGAAUCAAAAGAGAACAUCUCAGCUCAAUUAUGAUCGAAUCUUGACCAUAAUUAUGUACUAAAACUUAUAUAGCGUAUUACUGAGAGGGUCGAGAGAGAAAAGGACUUGAAAAUAAAAUUAAGUCUCCUGAAACAGUAAGAACUACCAAGAAUUGUUCUCGUAUUUGUCCCAGUCCCAGUCCCAGUCCCACACAAAGCUGGAUCACAUAAACCAUUCAAAAUCACUGCUUAGGUAUAAGUGUUUGAUUUCUCUUUUAAUUCGCCUAUGAUCCAAUCUUAACCAUAAUUAAUCUAUGAGAUGUAAAGUUUCAAGAAUUUGUUUCUAAAGACAACACAAAAAAAAAAGGUCGUGUUAAAUACAAUGUGCUUGAUAUAUAAAAAGUUCGAUCCUGGCCGUCUCAUUAAGGGGACAACAUAUUAAUCUGAUAGCUAUGACCUGUGUCGCUGUAACAUUCGGGACAUGAUUGCACAACACAAAAUUUCAUUAAAACCUUACGUUUCCUUUCAUAAAGGUAAAAUCUCUACCCCAAUUUUUGAAACCACCCCAAAUUUUGAAACCUACGUCAUCAACAAUUUAUACGCAUUGGAAUAUAGACCAACAUUUAGUAAAACCUGGACCAAAUACAACAAGUCUGAUGUUAAACCACCGUUUCUGUCUAGCUCGAUUCUACUGUGAUGAUCGGAGUUGGUUCGGUAAAGACCCUAAGCUACAUUAAAUCUAUAGGCAAAAAGACAGAGAAAACAAAAAUGGAACCGAGUUAAACAACCUUGCUCUUCAGAUUUGCUUCUUUUCUUUAUCAGAGGAUCCGAAAUGACUUGACAAAGUCCACUGCGUAUAGUUGGUGUAAAAGGCAAACAUUAUAAAGUAUGAGAAACAGAGAAUCAUGAUCAGUGCUUCGAAUAGGAAAGGGUACUUCUGAGGAGGUUUAAUGGUAAGAUAGAGGACAUGAAGAACUACGGAGAUGAAGAAAUGGGUUCGUAGUAAGAAAACAUAACCCGGGAAGUUUUUAAAGGAGAAAAAUGAAACGUCGGUUUUCUGUAUCGCAUGGUGAUUCCCGGGUGAAUGAUAGAUGACGGUGAAGAGAAAAGAUAGUGUUAAGUAAGGGAUCAAGAGUUUGUCACGGCAAAGAAGAGGGAACAUCGAGAAGAGAGCGUAAUAGGUUAAAUGACUGAAAUGGUCAGGUAGUUUGAGAGCUAAUAGUGUUGCGGAGAGAAAAGGCAUCAGGAUUGAUUUCUCAUGCACUGCAGAUUCAAACACAAUGAAAGAAAAAAAGGGACUGUUAGAUAUUAAUUGAUGGCAACCGUGAUCGAAGAUCAAAGUGAAAUAUUUAUACCUUGGAAGGAAAACAAGUAGAAAGCCAUUGAACUGUUGAGCAAGCCAUAUAGGAAACCUUCAUUGCUUGGUGACAAGAUUUGCUGAACCAUUGAAGGAAGAGAAGCCAAUAUAGUUGCAGCUAAGCUGAUAGACUUGAGGGAUUGUGUUGUGAACAGAUUUUUCCAUUUUAUGAGUAUGGAAGUAGUGCACCAGAAAUUUGCCACGUAAUCCUCGUAUAUUCCCCUCUCAAAUGGAGCAAGACGGGAGAGAACCUGCAUCAUCAGCCAUUUACUUCAUAUUAAUGAGCACGAAAACGAAUGAGACCUAUUGGGUGUAUGCAAUUUACAUCAGAGGAGGAAGCAAAGAGUACAAUCUCUUAGUUCUACCAGAGACAAACAAUUAGUUUUCUCGAGAAAUUAUCAAAUACGUAUUUACCAUUAAGAAGUCGUCCAAAGAAUGCACAUAUGGCCACCAAAAAAUAACAAAUGUCACUAUGACUGCAAUUCCAAGCUUAAUCACAGAAAGUAUAGGGCUCUUCCGUCUUAGGCAUUUACCCAGUAGAUGGCUGAAAAAGGCAGGAGCAAAGUAUGCACUCAUCUGCAACAUCGACACAAUGGAAAAAGUGUGACCAGCAUGUUAUAAACGGGAACAGAACAGAAAUGAGGUACAUACAUAAACAAAGGGGUAUAUCAAGCACCACAUAAGAUUAACAAUAUUGUAUGUAUAGAACAUUUUACAUAAAUGCAACGAUGUGAAAUAUGUAUGGCCAUAAACACUACACUACAGUCUCAACAAAUUAGACAUUUUGACAUAACGGUAGUAACUACUCAUAUUUUCCAGGGAACUAAAACCAUCUAGUUUUUCAGUCUAUGAGAUUGAUAAAAGCCAUUACGUGUCAGAUCAUCUACAAGUAUACCAACUUUCUACAAGGGAAACAUAAGAAUACAGAAAUGAAAUCCCAAAGUCACCUGUUUAUGGCUGAGGGCUAGACUGAACAAGACACAAGUGAGAACCUCGCUCUCACAUAGUACCGCAGCAAUAGCACCAACUGUAAGUCCCAAGCUGAUACAAUUGUACUAUAACAAAUAAAAAUUCUAAUGAGAAUCAUCUUACAACCAUAGAAAAAGGAUACAUAAUCACAACACCAAUAGAGGUAACGGUCAAUACAAACCUGAAAAUGACCGUGAUCAAUGAGGAUCAAGCAAGGGUUUAAGAGAAUCAUAGCAAUAUGCCAAGCCACUUCACUCUUACCACCCCUAGUUCGAUUCCUAUGGUACACCAACACGAAAAACAGAGCAGCUGGGAAAAAUAUGAAAGCAUCAGACGAUAAAACUGUCCAUCUCAUCAACAAUUUUCUGCAUAACAAAACUCGAAUUAGUAAACCCUAAUUACACAACAAGCAACCAAUUGAAGAAUCAGAUCAUUUACCCAAGAUAAGAUUCGUGACCACGAGAGCUUAGAAGAGCAACAGAUUCAGGAUUGAAGAAUCGGAGGAAGAUUCCAUGGAUGUAACUUUGAUAAGCAGUUAAAGGAGGAUAAUCUAAUCCCCAGUAAGUGAGAUCGUUGUAAGUGCCAUUUCUAUACCAAUCGAUAACUGGAAGAUUUGUGGUUAUCUCCAUCCAAUGUCUCUGAGCUUCGAAAUCGCCGAAUUUAGGAGGAAUUCCGGCGCCGGAGUAUGGAUACAUUGUUACAGCAGAUCGGAUCAGUAAUGCGAAGAGGGAGAUGCAGAGAAAUGAAGUUGUGGUUCCUUUAUGUGUUAGCCACCACCAAGUAUCAAUCGAAGAUCCGGUUUGUGGUGAUACCGGAAUGGUGAUGUCAUCUUCGCCGGAAUGUUUCGCCGGCUUCUUCUUCGGCAUCCUUUGUUUUGUUUGUCUUCUCCGUUUAGUUUUUUUCUCACCUAAGCUAAGCUGAUGCAAAAUCGAUUUACGGGGAUCGGUCUCAGUUUGGGUUUAGGAAAUAUUAAUAAAAGGCCCUUGUAUUUUUAUGUUUCUAUAAAUUUAUCCUUGAAAAAUACAAAAACACCAUUCGACUCACUUUUUAUUUUAUGUUAACAACUUGGCUAAAGACACAUCACUAACACCAUUCGACUCACUAAAACUAUGAAAUAUAACUUUCACAUUAUAGGUUAUAGACUCGUUUUGAAUAUUUUUAAAAAGACUAUAUGAAUAUUUUUAAAAAGACUAUAAUACAAUAUAUAUUAAAUUUUUGAGAUGAAAAUAGUAAAGAUGGUUGGUUUGAGAUGAAAAUAAUAAGGAUGGUUGCUAUGAGAAAAUGUUAUUCUUCAAAGGGAAAUAUUUUUUCUUAAAACAGGGAUUAGCGAUUCGCAUCCUCUUCUGUCUUUCUUAGUACGUUUGUGUUAUAGCUUCAUUUCGAAUGACUGGAUUGUCCGAAUUACUCAUGUGUAUAGGGAAGCUAAUCGUCUCGCAGAUGAAUUAGCGAAUCAUGCUUUUUUGUUACUUUUGGGGUUUCAUAGUAUUCUUCUUAGGCUUGAUUUUGCUACUUCGAUUAUUUUUGAGGAUGAUAGUGUUGUUACGCGCCCACGGAAUAUUCGUGUGUAAUUUUUUUUUUUUAUUUUUUUUUAAUAAUAUGGGAGACUAAUCUCCCUCAUUCUACCAAAAAAUUAAGGGAAAUAUUUUUUCUUAAAUUUGUUGAUAUGAUAAUUAUGGUCUACAUAAUAUCGUGUUUUAAAUCAAUAUAUAAUAAAUGUUGGUUAAAACAAGAGCAAUAACAUAAUUUUGGUGAAAUUUCUUGGGAAGGUAAGAGGAAAACUUCCUUGAUAGCAUGGAAGUAUGUAAAUUAGGAAAUUUCAACAAAGCCUUACUUGUGAAACAAUUCGGCCGGAUCGUACAUUUAUCGAAGCUAGUUACUUCCUUGUAAAAAGUUUUUUAUGUAGUGAUGGUGGUUGUAGACCUUUGUAUACUUGGAAUAGUGUUCUCUAUUGAUGAGAUCUCUUGAAAAGUGGCAUAAUAAGCAAUAUUGGACAAAUCUACUAGGGUUUGGCUUGAUAAAUGGCUUAUGGAUGAACAACCAAGGAGACCCACUAAGAAAUAAAUUUUAUUUAUUAUUAAACUUAAGGUUGCUAAUUUGUUGAAUGAGAGAGGUGUUAAUUUCUCCCAAAUGAUGUUAAUCAAGUCUUAUUGAUUUAUCUUAAUUCAAACAAGAAAGAUUUUUCGUUUUGGCGAUUCAAUAAAACUGGAGCUGAAAUCAAAAUUCUUUCUAGGGAUAUAAAGAGUUUGUUGGAUUCAUCUCUUGAAAAAUUCUUUAAAAGCAAAUCAGGGAACUAGACGAAGAUUUUAGCGGAAGUAGCUCAAAAAGCAAAAGCAUCCAUGAAAAUUGCUAUGGUAGAUGAAUCACGAAAAGCUGAAAAAGCUCUGAUCGCUAGUAAAUAGUAAUAAUAGAUUGAGUCUAGUUGAUCAGAAGAAACUUGCACAAGUUAUCAAGGUGGUGGUCGAAAUGGAGGAUGAACUCGAGGAGAAGGUUCAAAAAGUCGAGAAGAUAAACAGAAAGGUAGAUGAGAAGAUGAAGAAGAAGGCAAAGAAGAGACAUUUUUCGUUUUUGGUUUGUUGAAUGUUGAUUCGUCUUCAGCUAUCAUAUCAUGUCGGUGUUAGACUUAAAAUAAGUGUUUACCAAUAACUUAUACAAGAGAGGUUCUACACCGUUUACCAAGAGAAUCAAAGAAUGCAAAGUUUGUAACUUUUGUUUGUGGUUUAAAAGAACACCACAAUCAUUGUUGAAUGCAUAACAUAUUUCAACCAGAUAAGGAGUUAAAGAACUUUUAUAUGGAUCUAAUACUUAACCACUAAUACUAAAAAUUGAUCUUGAAGCAACAUAGGAGAUUUGAGUAGUUAGAACAUAUCUAGCAAAUUCUGAUCUAUUGUGAAAAGAAUAACUAGAGACGGAUGACUUAAUUUCUAUAUAGCAUUUGGAGGGUCAUAAUGACUUGUUUUUAUUUACGUGUUUUACGUUAUUUUGUUUUUGUCAAAAGGCUUUCAUAAAUUAGUAAUACUCUAUAAAUAAAUAAACACAAUAAAAUACUCUUUCUUAUCGAUUUAGGUAUGGCCAAUGUAAAAAACUAAAAAUUAACAAAAUUUUGAAACUUCUAUACAUUUUUAUGGUUCUAGUAAUAUUAUAAAUUUAUACAUAUAUAGCUAAGAUAAUAUUCUAAAUAUGACUAUAAUAUUGUUUGUAAUUUGAAUUAUUGUUAGCGUUAUUCUCUAAUGUUACUUAUUAUUCAAAAACUCUUCGGUGUUUUCGAUUUGUAUCCAAAUUUUAUGAUAAAUUCUAAACACGAUAAUUAAUUUACAAAAAUAAAGUACUUAUUUGAGUACCCUUAAAUUUAUGUUUACUUGACUUCCCAGUUCCCAGCCAGUAUAAAUCUUUUUCUUAUAUUUAAAUUAAUUAAUUAACUUUGGAUAUAGAAUUGAAUUAUUAGGAAAAUAUAUACAUAUCAAUCAAAAAUAUAAUAUUUAUAAGCUUAAUACAAACAUAGAAAUAUCUAUAUCUAUAUAUAUCUAGCUUAAUUAAUUGGAUAGUAAAAGCUUAUCUUUGCAUUUUUAUUAUUUUAAUUAAUUACUUGUAUAUAUAUAUUAUUUUAAAUACUUAUUAGCAUAUUGACAUUUAAGAUACAAGGUUUAAAUUUCUUUUGUUAUUUUGAACAGAAGUUUUGUUAAUCAGUAAAAUAAAAUUAUUGUAAAUAAAAGAAAAGAUUUUGUGCAAAACAAACUCCAAAGUCGUUUAUUUUUGUAACUUUAUCUUUCACGUUUAAAAAUACAAAACAAAAUUAUGAAGUAAAAAUAAUACGUAAUGUAGUCGAUUUUACAACUUUACAUCUAUUGUAAACGUUUUCACGAUCACAUAUAUUUGUUUUUAAAAGUUUUAAAGAUAUAGUUGAACUCCUCAUCUCAAGGGCUUUGAUUUGAUAAAUUAUCUAUCUAAAUUUUAAAAUUAUUUAUCAAAAUUUUAAAAUUUGACAAUAGCAAAAAAUUUGACAUAUGUAUAAUUUUUGAUUUAGUAUUAUUAUUCUGCAUUGUUAAGAUGUAAAAUGUAAAGUUGUAAAAAGUAAAUGAUUCCGAGGAUUUUGUGUAAAAAACCUUAAAAUGUUUUAGAGUUUCUUGCACUAAAAGGAUAACUUUUACUUUUUUUCCAAACCCCAAAGUCUGAUUUACCUGUGAGUUAACAACAAUUACUACUCUCUUUGAGUAAAAAUCGCAUGCCAAAAAGAUUAUAGAAAAUAUAAUACCGAAGAAAAUUCCAAAUAUACAAGCAGUAAAUUAAGUUGAUUUUGGGAAUAGUCUACAAUCCCAUGUACACAUCUCCACUACAUUCCAUACACCUUUUUUAAUCUAACGGCUCACAAACAAUAAAACUCUCCGAAUAAGUAAUCACCACGUGAUUUAUCUUGACACACCAAAGUUUGUAUAGACGUGCAUGUAUGUAAUUAAUUAACCUUUUAUGUACUAUGAAUUAACUGUGUUGAUAUAUAAAGGGUGACUCAAUACCCCAAAAGCGGUCUCUCUCUAUACUUUGCUUCUCUCUCUAAACUUCUCUCUUUCUUUUUUUCUCAAAGCUUUUUUCCUUCUCCCUAAACGAUGAAGAUUUUCGUGAAGACUCUCAGUGGUUCGAACUUCGAGAUCGAAGUAAAACCUGCAGAUAAGGUAUAGUGAUUUCUUGAAUUCGAAUCGUCUUCUCUGUUUCUUUAACUGUUUAUUAGGUCUGAUUUGGUUCCGUAAUUCGAUUUUGCCUUGGGGAAAAAUUCCGGUGAAUUAGCGAAUCUCGUAGUAUCUGAUUUAAAAUUCUAGGUUUCGUUUGCAUCGUACUCUUGUUUCGGGUUGGGAAUUGUUUGUGACGAUGCGUGUUUCUGUUUCUGUGAUUGGAUUCGAAUUCGAAUUAGGGUUUUUCGUGAGUAUGUAAGUAUAGUGAUUGUAUGUGUUGGGAAUUUAAUUAUAUACUGUGUAAAUUGUAUAUAGUUAUGGCUUCUUGUUUUCCCAUCAACAUUCGUUGCUUUAGUGAUCAUGCUGGAAUCUGAUUUUGCUUCUUUAAGAUUAUGUUAGAGCUAAUCAUACUUAGAUUCACAAUAUUAGUCAUUAUAUUUGCUAAACCUUGAGGCACCUAUGGAUUAUCAUACGUAAUGAUAUAGUAUUUGUGAAGUUUUCUUUGGUGUGACUUAUUUGUUUCAUUGCUAGUCUUAUAUCUUCUUGAUAGCCUUUAGCUUAAUGAUGUCUGUAUGAUUUGGUAUCUGAGUUUAUUUUUGGCUUUUUCUAGGCUAAGUUAUAUGUGUGAUUGAGAUGCUUAUUAACAUUGUUGUUGAUCGCAGGUUUCUGAUGUUAAAACGGCUAUAGAAACUGUUAAAGGUGCAGAAUACCCUGCUGCUAAGCAGAUGCUGAUCCACCAAGGAAAGGUUCUAAAGGAUGAGACCACAUUGGAAGAGAACAAUGUUGUUGAGAACAGUUUCAUUGUUAUCAUGUUGUCCAAGGUGAUGUACUAGGUCCACAGUUUCGCAUUAGUAUUAGUAACAGGAUUUUAGUAGUUAGUGGAUGCUAACAAGUUUUAACGUUUGUAUAUAGACCAAGGCUUCUCCAAGUGGGGCAUCAACCGCAUCUGCACCAGCACCUAGUGCUACACAGGUGAAUAAAAGUUCUUAUGUAAUAUGGUUAUGGUUUCUAUUUGUAAGUGACAACAAAAUAGUAUAUCUAGAUAACAGUUUUGUCUAAUAGAAUUGCUUGGAUUUUCUGUAACAGCCACAGACAGUAGCUACACCUCAGGUUUCUGCUCCUACUGCCUCAGUGUAAGUUGCCUUCCUCUGGCAUUGAUUUACCUCCUUUUGAAAGAGAAAUUGUCAGCUUCUUAUGUAGUUGCCGGUUUGCUGAUUCUCUGUUCUUUUUACUUGCGUUCUCAGUCCAGUUCCUACAAGUGGAACUGCAACCGCUGCAGCUCCAGCUACUGCUGCUUCGUAAGAACUUUUCAGAAGUAUACUAUAUUCAUUUUCGAAUAUCUGUUCAUUGAUUGUGUAAAUGUUGCCCACUUUCUUGGUUGAAACAGGGUUCAGACAGAUGUGUAUGGUCAAGCAGCAUCAAACCUUGUUGCUGGAACUACUUUAGAGUCCACUGUUCAGCAAAUUCUUGAUAUGGGUGGAGGUAGUUGGGACCGUGACACUGUUGUUCGUGCUCUGAGAGCUGCGUUCAACAAUCCUGAAAGAGCUGUUGAAUACCUGUACUCGGUAUGAUUCAUUCCACUUCUUGAUUUUACGUUUUUCUUUGAUAUAUUGUAUCUACCUUUGAUUUGCGGUUUGCCAGAAUUUAAGCAACAUUUGCUCUUGAACUUUUGGUUGAUACAUUUCAGGGUAUCCCUGCUCAAGCUGAAAUCCCACCAGUUGCUCAAGCCCCAGCUACUGGGGAACAGGCAGCCAAUCCUCUAGCACAGCCCCAACAAGCAGCAGCUCCAGCAGCUGCAACUGGUGGUCCAAACGCAAAUCCAUUAAACCUGUUCCCCCAGGUAGGGUUUUUAAACUGGUGAACCGAUUUCAUUUGCUCGUUUUCCCUUGUGAAUUUGUUUUAUUGACAUCCACUCUUAUCUGUCUCUAUCCAGGGCAUGCCCGCUGCAGAUGCUGGUGCUGGAGCUGGUAAUCUUGAUUUCCUGCGUAACAGUCAACAGGUAUUUUCAAUUUCUUUUCCAUUCGAGAACGGAAAUCUUCAUUUCUCUCCUCUUAUGUCAUUUGCAAUUCUUUUGCCUUUUCAUAGUUCCAAGCCUUGCGAGCUAUGGUACAAGCAAACCCACAAAUUCUACAGGUAAAAUUUUUAACCUCUUAUUCUUUAUUUGGUAGGUUAUAUGAUAUUGAUUUCCCACUUAUACUGUUUCGUUUUGCAGCCUAUGCUUCAGGAGCUCGGUAAACAAAACCCCCAGCUUGUGCGACUAAUUCAAGAGCACCAGGCUGACUUCCUACGCUUGAUAAACGAACCUGUCGAGGGAGAAGAGUGGGUUUAAUAUCAUGAUUCUCCUUUACGUUUUCAUUUUAUUCUUUUUUCUCAAUAAAGCAUGUAAUCUGACAUUUCAUUCGAUGCCACCAGGAAUGUUAUGGAACAGUUGGAAGCAGCAAUGCCACAAGCUGUUACCGUUACACCUGAAGAGCGUGAAGCCAUUGAACGGGUUUGUUCCUAUGAUCUUUACAUUUGUACCUUUACUAGAUGCUCUGGUUCCUCAAAAUAUAUGGCUUGUAUUGAAAUUUGAUUUUGCUGUUGUUUGUUUUGGUUUAGCUUGAAGGGAUGGGGUUUGAUCGUGCGAUGGUCUUGGAAGUGUUCUUUGCGUGUAACAAGAAUGAAGAACUUGCAGCUAAUUACCUUCUAGAUCACAUGCAUGAGUUUGAAGAUCAAUAAACAGAGCAAAUCCAUUCCUCCCUCUAAACUCAGACCAUCUUUCUGUUUCUUUUUCUUCUUCUUUUUAAUAUGAUAAUCUCUUCUCCAAUGCCAUUUGACAGUUUCAUGUUUAUGUUCAUGGGAGUUGAUGUGUUUAUGUUACUAUUAAAACUAUCAUAGUUUAUCUGGUUUGAAGAUGCUCCUCUUUUAUCAUAUUAUUAGCCUUUGAAUCCUUCCUCUCUUUAGGUCUCAGAUGCACCAAUAUUAGCUAAGAUUAAAAGUGGAUAUUUUGGUUCUAUAUGACUCAUCUCGAGUUAGGAAUGGUAUGUCGAAUCUGGUUUAACAGAUCUGGCCUAAAACGAAACCGCUAUUCAGAUCCAAUUAUUGGCGCUUACAUUGUUUUCUCAUAGCCUCAAGCUAUGCAAUAUCAAUUAUUGCACAUUUGAAUUAACACAAACCCAUCAAUUAAUAUAUCAACAAAAACCCAUCAUCAAUUAACACAUCAACACAAACAUAAAGACAUAUAAGUUGCUCAUGAAGAACUUAUAAUGGUGGAACCAGUGAGCCUUUGAGAUCUGUCAUAAUCGUCUCUGAAAUUGUCUCAAAUCGAGAGAGAAAUGAGAAAUCUUAAAAUUUUACCCUAAAUAAUUAAACCCUAGCUUUUAAUUAUUACUGCACAAAUUAUGUCUAAAUAAUUUUGCCCAUUUACUAGCGAGCUUAUAUGGUUUGUAAUCCAUUUUAAACACUUUAAUUUUGGGCUUCACCAAAACCCAACCAUUAUUAUUUGGACGUGGACAUCCCAUGGUCAGAAAACUCAUUCGAUAACCCUACAUUUGAUGAUCAAAGUGGCACGGAAGCUCGUUCGAUCUACAAGUUUUGUGGUGAGGAGACUUCUCAGUUUUUCUUCUAGUGUGGUUGUACUUCAGGUAAAUUCUUUUCAAUACUUAGUGGAAUUUUUCGCUAACUGUUUUGUGUAAAUAAGGACGAGGCCUCCAUAGCGUUCAGUGCUUUAACAAUGCCGUAUCCACUCUGCUAAUCUUGGAUUUCAAGAGGUAUGACAGUUUGUGUUGUGAUAGGAGCCUUCAUUAAAUUAAAUAAUUUCAACAAUUUAUUUAUUUUUAGAACCAAAAGAUUUUUCAAAAAUUUUGAUUAUCAAAAAAAAAUCCAACAGAUUUUCUGUUAAAAUGAAAAUAUAUAUUAGAUUGUUUUUAAAAAAAAUCAUCUGCCGGAAUUUGAAUCUGGACAUGCUUAUUUUCAAAAAAACAUUUUAGCUAAUGUGCUAGUGCAUAUGUUUUUGCUAAGGUAUGAAUUUAAAUUGGAUAUAUAGAUCAAUUUAUUUAUUUUAAAACCAAAAAAAAUUUAAAAAGAAACUUAGCGGGAUAUAAAAUAAAUAUAUAUUAAAUUUAAAAAAAAAAGAUUUUCCGCUACGGGAAUUUGAACCUGAAAAUGCUGAUUUUUAAAGAAAAUUUAGCUAAUGUGCUACAUGAGAUGUUUUUUUUGCUAAAGUAUGAGUUUAAAUUGGAUAUAUACAUCAUUCAAUUUAUUUUUCUAAUCUAGAAUUUGCUUUCCUAGGACAAAUAUAGGUACUGAAUUAUUAAAGAACAUAUUUUUUGGUAAGAUAUAAGUGAGUUUUUAUAUAAUUUUGAUGAUUUUAGGUAAGUUGAUGUGAUUUACUGUAAAGUCUUUUCAAAUUCUAUCUAAAACUAUGAGAUUUAGAUUUCUGUAUUUUUAACUAAAGAAGUCUUUUCAAAUCCUUUCAAAUCCUUCAAAAUUAAUAAGAAUCAAAUCCACUAACUAUUUUCAGUAACAGUAAAAAGGUUGAUUUUUAAAUUUUUAAUUUAAUAACACUCAAUUUCAUUUAAAAAUUUAAAAUCCAUAAUUAAAUAACAUAAAAUUUAUAAAUUUUACAUAAAUUAUUAGAUUGAAUACACCGCUCUAAAUAUACACAAUGUAAAAAGUCUGUUUAAGAUCAAUUAUAGAUUUAACUUAAAUCUAAAGGCCCAUAAUACCGUCCUGUACAUCAUAUAGUUAUCUCAAGUUGUAAUACUGUAAUACCCGUUGGGCCCAGUGGCCCAUUUAUCAGAUUUCAAAUAACAGAUCUCAACACUAGCAUGGCUACACACGUGUCAGAUUCAAUGCAUCAGUCAUAUCUUCAGCAUCCAACACUUGUCAACCUUCCAUUGGAUCUCUUAACUCUACGCCUCGAAAACAGUUUUUAUUUAUUUAUCAUUCCAUUUCUCAUUGUAUCUUCAUCAGUCUCUUCUUAUUCCAUUUUUUCAAACCACUUGCAAAAUUCGAAUCAGAUCUUCUCUUCAAUCGAAAAAAAAGAAAGGUAAAUCUCUCUCUCUCUAAUCAUCGUUCGUUUCGUAGUUUCUUCUUCUACGUGUAGAUCUGAUCUUUGAUUGUAUGUUUCUGGAGAUCUCGAUCUCAUCGAUUCUCUGUUCUUAUCACUGAUUCAGUGUGUUUGAUAUCUAAAUCCGAUUUGUGUGUAGGAUGUUAAAAUUUAGGUUUCGGUUUUGUUUCUGCUUUUGAACGAUUUUGCUCUAGAUUCGUUAUCCGUGAAGAACAUAGACGAGUAUGUAGAUCUUACUUCGGAUUCGCGUUGAAGAAUUUUCUCUAGAUUCGUCACCUAUGAAGAAGAUUCAUUGUGUUCUUAAUCUAGAUGAUUAGGUUAUUGUUUCGACUCAUUUGUUUAUGCCUAUUUUCUCUAUGUUCUUAAUCGGUGAAGAAAUGUAUCAAUGUGUGUAUGUUUUGGGUUCUGAUUUUGUAGGAUUUGCUCUAGAUUGUUGAAUCGAAGAUGUCGACAAGGGAAGAGAAUGUUUACAUGGCGAAAUUAGCCGAACAAGCUGAACGUUACGAAGAAAUGGUUGAAUUCAUGGAGAAAGUUGCGAAAACUGUUGAUGUUGAGGAACUUUCAGUUGAAGAGAGGAAUCUUCUCUCUGUUGCUUACAAGAACGUGAUUGGAGCGAGAAGAGCUUCGUGGAGAAUCAUUUCUUCGAUUGAGCAGAAAGAAGAGAGCAAAGGGAACGAAGAUCAUGUUGCUAUUAUCAAGGAUUACAGAGGAAAGAUUGAAUCCGAGCUUAGCAAAAUCUGUGAUGGGAUUUUGAAUGUUCUUGAAGCUCAUCUUAUUCCUUCUGCUUCACCAGCUGAAUCUAAAGUGUUUUAUCUUAAGAUGAAGGGUGAUUAUCAUAGGUAUCUUGCUGAGUUUAAGGCUGGUGCUGAAAGGAAAGAAGCUGCUGAAAGCACUUUGGUUGCUUACAAGUCUGCUUCCGUAAGUCAUUCUUUACAACGUUUUUGAAUGUUGUUUUCUUUUGUGGGUAUGAUUGAUUUUGUUGUUGUGAUAAUGCAGGACAUUGCCACUGCUGAGUUAGCUCCUACUCACCCGAUAAGGCUUGGUCUUGCACUCAACUUCUCUGUGUUUUACUAUGAAAUCCUCAACUCGCCUGAUCGUGCUUGCAGCCUCGCAAAGCAGGUUUGUGUAGUACACCUGAUUUUCACUUUUUGCUUCGUGUGUUAUUAUUAUCUCAGUGAAUGAAACAGCUAUUUUGGGUUUGUGCAGGCGUUUGAUGAUGCAAUCGCUGAGUUAGAUACAUUGGGUGAGGAAUCAUACAAGGACAGUACACUGAUUAUGCAGCUUCUUAGAGACAAUCUCACUCUCUGGACUUCAGAUAUGACUGUAAGUAUUAACAACACAAUAUACGUUGAUCACUAAGUUAUGUUGUUGACAUGAUGGUUUCUUUUUUGGUGAAUAGGACGAAGCAGGAGAUGAGAUUAAGGAGGCAUCAAAGCCCGAUGGUGCCGAGUAAACCCGAAGAAGAGGAAGAGUCAUUUUAUAAUGGUAGAAAACUUUCAUGUGAUAAUCUGAGUGAGGGAUAGCUCAGGAUUCUUAUAAGAGACACAGUUUUAUUGUUGUUUGUUUGUUUUGAAACUACUUGCGAUUUAUCAUUCCUCCUUUAGCUUCCUCAAUAUUUCCUAUUCUCCUUUCUAAUGAAAUCAAAACUUGGUUAUUUCUGAUAUGGUAGUUGUCUUUAUUUUCUAUUUUUUUGGUUAUUGAUUUGAUCAACUAAAAAAGUGUGAUAACUUUCUCAAAUUGAUUAAUUAAUGUACGAAAACACUUGCUGCAAAUGGAUCACUUCCAUGACAUUAUACUUUGAUAUAAUAUAUUACAAGAAAUAAAAGGUAACUAAAGUAGAGAAAACAAGAAACCAUAUUUAUAACAAAAUAUUUCAUUUCAAACAAUGGUAAAAGAUCUCAGAUAACAUAGGAGACAGACAAGUUACUACUAAUAAAGGAGAGAACCACACCAAAAUCCUAAUCUUGUUAAUUAACACUUCCAAUAAGUUACUGAAACUCAAAAUCACUGAAUAAGCUAGUGAACAAGUGAAGAGCUACUCUGUGUCAAGUGCAAAGCAGAGGACUCCACGGCACCUGAAAGUCCAAAGGCUGAUCUUGUCGCCGACUUUUAAGCUGCUACUUUUGACGACAUCAUUCCAACCCCAAUUCAAAGUGUAAUUCAAUGUUCCAUGUCCAGAGUCCUUCUCCAUCGCCCAUAUCUUGAAACGCAAACCCCACUUUUGAAAUCUUUGGUUCACAAGAACCGUUCCCACACCAAUAUUCUCGUCGUCUUCUUCAUCAUUGUCUUCGUCUUUCUGCAUAGCUCUACACUCCGCAGGAGUCAGGAAAUCGUUUCUGAUUAGCUUCUGGAAAGGCAUUAAGAGACGACUAAGGUUUGAGUUGACAUCACUCUUAAACAGAGUCCUCUCAAAUAUCAGCCUCGGGGUUUCAGCAUCAGCGUUCAUGUAUCUCAUCACUUGGAAAAUCCACUCAGGCAUCUCUGUACACAACCUUGGCAAAGGAGAAACCUUAACUUUCUUGACUUUACCACUCUUCCUCUGCUCCACGGCACGCCUCUUGCGGUUUGUCUUCCCUGUUAGGCAUGAAGACGGAGACGAAGAUUGGUAAUUAGGGUUUGGUACGUCUUUUGUCUCUGUCGAAGGUUCAAGACAAGGAAGGUUCAGGAGCGAUGAAGAAGAAGUAGAAGCUCCAUUAAGAUUAUCAAAGAGUUUCUUUUCACUCUCGUCAUCAUAAUCUUCAUCGUAGACAAUCUUGGAUUUACCUUUCUUUAAACGUUGUUCUUCAUCACACACCAUAGGUUCAUCAAAACAAGGGUUUUGUAGGUUGUCUGUCUCAAAAUCAGUAGGGAUUAGGUUAAGAUCGGGAAGCGAUGACGAACAAGUAGAAGCCCCAUUAGGGUUUUGUUGUGUGUAUCUUCUCUUCGCCAAAGACGAUUUGAUUUUCCUCGGGAAAAGAUAGAAGAAACUCAUCUUGCACUUGGAUUCUUCUCGUUUCUCUGCAAGAAGACGACUACGUUGUUCUUCUUCCUCCGCAACCAUAACCGUCACAUACGCCAGUAAACUUAAACCCGACGACAUAUUCUUCCCCGAAUCCGUGAGAUGAUUAUCGUGAUACAUAAUACUACUCAUCGUGAUUGAAUCGAAAGACUGGAAAGUUUCUGAGAGCGACGACGUGAGGAACAAGAAACUUGUAUAUAGAGAGACGAGAAACUGAUCGACGAUUAGAAAAGAAGUACCUUCUCUUGCCUUAUAUAUACUUUACAAUAGGGUUUCAGGUUUCUUUGUUUUCCUAUUUCUCCAUUGAGUUUAGUUGUUUAAUUACUGUCAUUAGUAACUAAUUAUAGCCGUUGUGAUCAAGUGUUUCCUUUUUCACAAGUGUGAGAGAUAGUGAAUUUUUAGGAAGUUUCCUUUCCUUUCAAAUUUCAAUAGCUUUGCUUCACUUUUUUGUAUUUGAUGUAUUAUUAUAUUUUUUGGGCACUUGCCGACUUUGAUAUAAAUUAAAUAAAAUGCAGAAAACAGUGGAGUCUCAAAAAAAUUCAGAUCUUUAGAAAAACAAAACCAAUAUUGUUGUCGAUUGAAUCGAAAAUAGUUUCGAGUAUCCAUUUAUCAUCAAAAAAAAAAAAAAAACAAUUCCUUGAAUAAUUUUUAUGUUUUUUGAAUUUUAUUGGAUGUACGUACAUAAUCAUUUCAACAAAAUUGCAUAAAAAUAGUUGAUGCAAAACCAAAUAUGGGGAGAAAAUUCAAAUAGUUUUCUCAAUUUGAGGUAACUACGAAAUUGCCCCACAUCCUUUAGUAAUUACGAAUUGGACCUAAAACUAUAGAUAAUUACGAUUUUUUCCCUCGAAUAAUAACGAAAUUGCCUCAGUUAUUUCGUUAUUUGUUAAUGCACCCCACAUCUCUCGGUAAUUACAAAAUUUCUGCAAAUCUUCCAAAAUGAAAUUUCUGGUAAUUUCUUAUUUGGUAAACUACGAAUGAACAACAAAGAACAAUGAAUUGGUAAAAUACACAUUUUGGAAUACUCAAUCUCUCAUAUUAUUGCUUAUCCACAAUCAAAUCACACAAUUGUAACAAUGAACAACAAAGAACAAUGAAUCAACAAGAACAAAUGAAAUUAGAAUCUUCGCUCACAUCCCUCAGAUUAUAAUCGCACCCUUCACAGUCUCAUAGCGAAUGAAUCAACAUGCCUUGCUCUGUAACCGCUCCUCAUAUUUAUAGAUGCCUCUGAUACUUGCUUAUUUCACAAGCUUCCCUCUGUUUCCUCACGUGCCUUGCACACACACUCUUAUCAUGCAUUCGCAGUCAUUAAACAGUGUCAUAGUUAUUCUUUAUGGUUACAAGUGUGGGGUUGGUGACUGAUGAAGACAACUGAUCUUAUUCAUCUACUUCUUGGAGCUGGAGUUGGAGAAAUUCGAGAAGAAUGAACAAAUUACGACAAGGUACAUUGAGAAAAUCUCCGGUGAAGCAUAAAAGCACAACUUAUACGUAAUAUUUCUAUAUUUGCUUUUGGAGACAGAACAUGUGUCAGUAAUCGUUGGUUUAGACUUCUAGGUCUGGUUUGGGGUUUGGUACAGAUGGUUUUAUGGCUGCAAAUGUCUUAUGUUGUUGAACGCCCACAAGAUGCUCGAUGAAAUGCCGAAGAGAGUGGCUUGUUUGUAAAAUUGCAGUUUUUUGGUGGUAUAUGGAUGAGAAGCAGAUGAUAGUGAGUAGAGUUUUGUUACUUGGGGGUAGAAAAUUCUCUUCGCCAUGAGAUAGACUAUUAGAGUUAAGCGGGUAAAAACCCGGACUCGUUUUGUGAGACAAAAGAACCUGAAAAAGUUCUCACUUUGACUAUUCUUGCUUCUAUCAAGCCAUUGCAAUUGUUCUUGGAAAAGUGAAACACACACUCUCGUUGUCUCAUCUUGCUGUGAAUUAUCAUUCUUAUCUGCUGAGUUCAAGACUGGAUUAAGCAUGAUUCUUGAAGAUAGGAGUGUGACUGAGAUAAUAUGCAUUCACUGGAAACCAUGGUCUACUUUUCAAAGGUAAUGUCUCUGUUCUUUCAAUUUGAGACAGAACAAAAGGAAAGAAGUAGAUAUUAAGUUAAGUGUGGUAGCUUGAGAAAUGGGAACAAAUGGUUAGAUUUGUAGGACUGGAAAUCUUUAUGCUAGAAAGAAAUAGGGGUAGUAUUGGACAUAACUCUCAAAAGGAAAGGAGAAGGGACAUUGUGUUUGAUUCAAAGCUAAGACAAGGCUGCAUUUGUGUCACUCAAAGGAGAAUAGGAAUUACCUCUGACAGAGUUUGAAAGAAAAACUCUACAAGUAUCAGAAUGUUUAAGAUCGUUCCUGGAGUACAUUCAGUCAUUCAGAUGAAAAGACGGAGAAACGGAGCUGUGGCGGGAAUGUAACUAGUAAAGUACUUUCUUGAGGAUUCGGCAGUGCUCAAGAAGUUUAUGCUGCGUUUGGGUUGUGAGAGAAUGAACAAAGAGUCUAUCAUUUUAAUGGAACUAUUGAGGUUAAGGAGAUAUACUAUGCUUAUUGUAUAGUCAUUGUUGAACUUGCUGAGACUGAUAAUGAUACAUAGGUGUUUCUACACUUAAAUGUGCAAUUUCCAUUUAGGAAAGUUUAGUAUUGGGAUUUGAUGUAUAUAUUCUUACCAGAACCAGUUCUCCAACUUAGGAAAUUUAUUUGUAAUAAUCUGAGUGACGCUCAGUAUUCUUCCAAGGACAAUUUGACAACUACUUGCUAUGGAUUCCUCCUUUAGGUUCCUCAAAAGUUCAUGUUCUCCAUGUAAUGAAAUCAAAACUUGCUUUUUCUCUGACAUUUUUGAUUGUUUUGGUUCUAAAUUUGAUCAAACUGACUGCAUCGAGCAUUUCGGAGGAAUAGUACACAAAACAUUAGCAGGAAUAGAUCAUUUCCAUCAUUACAACAGGUUUAGAGGAGAGAUCUGAGACAACACAAAGGUAUAUUGAACAAUGCAGUAAGUAAAGUAGACAAAACAAGAAACCAUAUUUAUGACCAAAUGUGUUCAUUUCAAACAAUGGUAAAGGUCUGAAACAACAGAGGAGACGGACAAGUUAAUACUACUACUACUAAUCCUAACAAUAGAGGAGAGAACCAGUUACUAUACUAAAAAGCCAAAAACCUCAAGAAUCACUUGAAAUUUGUUAAAUGAGACCUCAAGAGACAAAUGAAACAUAUCAGAGAGCUACCUACCAUGUGUCAAGAGCAAAGCAGAGGACUCCACGGCACCUGAAAGUCCAAAGACCGAUAUUGUCGCCGGCUUUUAAGCUGUUACCUUUGACGACAUCAUUCCAGUCCCAAUUCAAAAUGUAAUUCAAGGUUCCAUGUCCAGAGUCCUUCUCCAUCCCCCAUAUCUUGAAACGCAAACCCCACAUUUUAAAUCUUUGGUUCACAAGAAUCGUUCCCGCACCAAUAUCUUCGUCGUCUUUGUCUUCGUCUUCCUGCUUGGCUUGACACACAAGAAUCGUUCCCACACUAAUAUCUUCGUCGUCUUUGUCUUUGUCUUCCUGCAUGGCUCGACACUCCUCUGGCGUCAAGAAGUCGUUUCUGAUUAGCUUCUGGAAUGGGAUUAAGAGACGGCUGAGGUUAGAGUUGACAUCACUCUUGAACAGAGUCCUUUCAAAGAUCAGCUUCGGGGUUUCAGCAUCAGCGUUCAUGUGUCCCAUCGCUUGGAAAACCCACUCAGGCGUCUCUGUAGACAACCUUGGCAAAGGAGAAACCUUUACUUUCUUGACUUUACCACUCUUCCUCUGUUCCACGGCACGCCUCUUGCGACUUGUGUCGUUCUCCGUUAGGCAUGAAGACGGAGAAGAAGAUUGGUAAUUAGGGUUUGGUAGAACUUUCGUCUCUGUCUUCUCUGACUCAACCGUGUUGUAAUCCAAGAAUAACGAAGCCUCAUAACAACGAAGGUUUAAGAACGAUGA
Molecule: long non-coding RNA, 66557 nt
Filed under: Arabidopsis thaliana (thale cress)
Lineage: Eukaryota; Viridiplantae; Streptophyta; Magnoliopsida; Brassicales; Brassicaceae
Description: long non-coding RNA (ATHA_LNC000441)
Source: RNAcentral